RNAcentral lists this long non-coding RNA (48740 nucleotides) under Nicotiana tabacum (common tobacco). RNAcentral describes it as "long non-coding RNA (NTAB_LNC007553)". Lineage: Eukaryota; Viridiplantae; Streptophyta; Magnoliopsida; Solanales; Solanaceae. The record is from RNAcentral.
UUUAACAUUUUCUCUUAGCACGUUCAAUGUACAUACCCCCCACUGGUCAUUGAAAAUUGAAAACCAGGGGACAGGUGCCUCUAACCGCCUUUUUCCCAUAUUACAAUUUCCUACGGCUUUCCUUUUCAUUCUCCUAUAUAAGAAAGUGCCACUAACACUUCAUUUUCAUCCAAAAUCACAAGCGACUUAGAAAUCAGACACGAAACUUUUUCAAGAUUCAAGAAGCAGCAGCAGCAAAAUGAGUUCGUCAAGAAGAGCUUGGAUAGUGGCAACAAGCAUUGGAGCAGUGGAGGCAUUAAAAGAUCAAGGUUUUGCAAGAUGGAAUUAUACAAUGAGGUUGCUACAUCAACAUGCCAAGGCUAAUCUCAUGAGGCCUUAUUCUCGUCAAGUUAAGAGACUCUCUGGUGGACAAUCUUCGAAACUUGUGUCAAAUAAAAUGAUGAGGGAGCAGAAAUUGAAACAAUCUGAAGAGUCUUUGAGAAAUGUCAUGUACUUGAGCUGUUGGGGGCCUAAUUCGUAAUGUCGAUCUCAGUUCCCCAUUAUCUGUAUAUAUUGAUGAUGAUCACGAUAAAUCAACUGAAUGUUGUUGCCUUUUAGUUUCUCCAUUAAUUAUUAUCCUAAUUAAUCUCUCAUUAUCUCUAUUGAGAAACUAAAAGUGGAAAGAUGGAAAAUACAAACUUCCACUUACAACCAAUCACCUAACUUUAGAGCUUGGGUACAAUGUGGAAUACUCAUAACUAGACCAAAAGUCAGAUUGUUGAGAUCAAAAUUGGCACAGCCUAUACUAUAUAUAUUACCUAUUACGACACUCAUUUAGCGAACGAAUAAUUAUCGAAAUCCUCGUAUUUCCGGAUAGCAUAUGUAAAGAGAUCUGCCAACCAAAUAAUUAGUAAACCUUAAUUAGUAUACCUAGAGAAUUUCAACGACUGAUAAAACUUUUGGCCAGUAAAAUAUUAGGCCACAUGGGAUGAUAUUCGUAGAGGAGAGGUGUUUUUUGCAUCAAUUCUAUAACGUCAGGUAUAAUAUUGGAUUGAAAGUAUAAUAGAAGACAUAAAUAAUUCUUUUUGCAUAGUAAAUAAUAGGUAUUUAUGAUCCUUUUUUUAAAUAUUUAUUGAUAUUUUUUAGUAUUUAAAAUUAUAUAUUUAUAAAGUUUUAUAAUCACACAAAUGUUAUGACAUUUCAAAAAUUUUAUAGCCACAUAAAUGUUACUCCUAUAACAUAUCUUAGAUAAUAAAUUUUAAAAAUCUUUUUUUUAAAACUAAAUGUGAAUUUAAGAUUUGUACAAGAAAUACUUUAACACUUUUAAAAAUUGUAAUAUUAAAUUAGUUAAAUUCUUUAAAUCCAUGUCUUUGUAAAAUUGGCCCCACAAAUUUUGGAUUUUGCUGGGAGGUUUCCUUCAGAUCUCAUUUGGAAGAAAAGUGAACAAAGGAUUUUUUCCGUUCUUUUAUUACUACUGAUAUAAUACCACUGUUUCUGACCUUAAAAGUCUUCUACAACCAACCUAAAGCUCCCACAUAAACGACGACAUUAAUUCCCCUAAUUUUUAUGGUCUGAAAUUGUAAUAUUAUCAUCAGAAAUCCACUACGCUCCGGCCAUGGCUACCGCCGACCGCCAUAAGCAACAACCCUCCGACGGGUGGCUCUGCCCCUUCACUAAAUCAAUAUUUCCGGCUUGGCUUAGGCGUAGGCUCCGUCUUGAUCCUGCUAGCAAACUCUACUUUCCUUGUGAGUAGACUUUAUUUACUUACAUGUUUACUACUUCUUCUCGUUAUUCCAUUUUUAGGUCGUUUUAUAUGAAGAGAUGAUACUACCUCUGUUUCAAUUUAUGUGAAGUUGUUUCAUUAGACGUGAAUAAAAAAAACUUUUGAAACUUGCGGCAAGUCAUAGAAAUUUGUAUCCCUAUACAUCAUUUAAUUAACGGUAAUUAAAAGUUUAAACCUUAAUUAUUUCUGAAUAUAAAUAUGUACCAUUCUUUAGGAAUAUACUAAAUAGAAAAUAGUAUCACACAAAAUGGGAUGAAGGAAAGUAUAUGAUAGUAUCAUGUGAUAUGUAGUAAGAGUUGUGAUAUUUGUAAAGCAAAACGGUUUCGUGCCCAUACGUGAAAGGAAGAUAAUGGUAUUUAGUUAAAGUAAUUUUUUAGGAGAAGUAUUUCCACAAUUUAAGGUAAUCAAACACUGGAAAAAGAAUUUUGGUUUAGCUAUGUAAUGUUGACAAUGACAGAGAAUAUUGGUUCCUGUUUUUGGUUUUGUGUUCUGAAGAUGAACCCGGAAAGCAGGCGAAGAGUGCUGUAAGGAUGAAGAACACAAGCAAAUCUUAUGUUGCAUUCAAGGUAAACUACUAAUCCCCAUUUUUGUUCAGCGCUUUUGUGCUAGUUGAUUUUUUUCAUCUAUAUAUCCUUGCAACCUUUGAAGCUUUUGGCAUUCAUAACAAAUGCAGUUUUAAAGUUUAUACAUUUAGUUAAAACGGACAUUGAAUAUGAGGUGUCAUUGUUUUGUAAUGACUUCACCUUUUCUGGAUCCAUUUUUUCGCGUGGAAGCUUAGUGAUUUAUAACUUCUUUUCUUAAGUUCUAAAAUUGGUGAUGUAUCUUGCAAAAUUCGAUUCAAAGAUAUUGUAUUGUUAUCUUCAUCAUAAAUCAUUAAUUGAUAUGGAUGACACAAUAUAAGCAGCAGUCUAAGUUUCCACUUCCUUUCGAAUUUUAAGUUAAAUUUGUUGUUCCUUUUGAAUGUUUUAGUUUCAAACUACUGCACCAAAAAGCUGCUACAUGCGACCUCCUGGAGGUAUUCUUACACCUGGUGAAAUCCUGAUUGCCACUGGUAUUCACUUUUCCUCAGUUUUAUUUCAAUUAAUUUUAUAUCUCAUUUGUUUUCAGUGUACAUCCUCCAUUUAUUUUCUAUUAUAUAUCUGGUUGACAGUCUUCAAGUUUAUUGAGCUCCCUGAGAACAAUGAGAAGCCUAUAGUAGAUCAAAAGACCAAGGUAAAGUUCAAGAUCGUGAGUUUGAAGGUGAAAGAAGGAACUGAUUAUGUACCUGAGUUGGUAAGUUAAUCAAAUUACUAGGUGUUGAAAAAUGGCAAAUUUCUUUAUAUUGCAUUCCAUGACCAGAAAAAUGAUUCGGUGUCAUCCCUAUUCAUUGGCAAAUAUGCUUGUGUACUUUGUUCUCGGCGCAUGUUACACAUUGAACUUGUCACUGACAGAAUCCUGUUUAUUAGUAUCCAUGCAAUGCAAAUUUUCAAUCUUGAAUUUAUGAAAAUUUCUAGAUGGAUUGUUUAUAUCGUGGACUUAAAUGUACUUCGUAUUGAGAGUCAUUAAGUUUCUUGUUUGUCUUUCUAUUCCAUGCAUCUUCUUUGGAUGGAACCCAAUCCAAUUUGCUCAAAUAUAUUUUAGUAACAAUGACUAAGACAAAUAGCUCGCGCAGUCUUCAGUAAGAGAGUUCUGUCAAGUUUAAUGACUGAAUAUUCUACUGGUUGCUGGGCCAUAUUGACAUCUUAUUAGAUCUUCGUUUCUUUCCAUCUACAAUUAAACAUAUUAGUAAUUUGUUAAAUGAGGGUACAAGCUCUGGAUUUGAUGCCCUUUUGUUCCGAGACAAAUCCGUUUCACAGAGGAUCUAAAUCUAAUAUAAUUGGUGCUGGCUAAAUUCGCAUGGCGUGAUUGCUUCUUCUUUUCCCUUCACUUAUGUAGGAGUUGCUCCACUUGGUUGGGGUUCUAGAAAAACGUUGACUGCUGCAGAGGUUCUUUUCUGUGGGUGACGGCUGAAAGGGUGCUAUGUCCGUAUCGACUCAUUUCCAGAAAAGAAAAUGCAUUGAUGAAAUCUCAUAGAGAUAUGUUUAUAAUCUUAAUCUAAAUCAGGACAUUUCCCUCUCUGCUCUCUACAUUCUCGUGUUGUUCUUUGCCCCAGAAAAACGAUUAUUGACUAUGUCUACGAUGACAAAACUUCUGACAGAUAUGCUUGUUGUGAAGUUUCUCUUUAUGAUAAAUUUCUUUGUAAUCUAUUUUUUUUUUUGGGCUAAUCUCAAAAGUUUAAUCAGCUAAAAUCUUAACACUGGCUUUUGUGAUAAACAGAGUGCUGAUUGUUGAGAUUAGAAACUUCUAAAACUUAAUGAUGUAUAGUUGCUUUUGCAUGCAACUCCAAAGUGUAAAAUUUCCACCUCUUCAACAGUGGCGGAGGCAGGAUUAACGCCAAGGGGGUUCAAAAUAAAAGAGAUUGUGACCCGUGGGAAUUUAACUAAUGACCUUACAAAAGUUUUGAACCCCUUGACCACUAAGCUAUGCUUUUGGGUUGUGUCAAGGGGAUUCAAAAUAUAAUAUAUAGAGAUACAAAAUAAAUUUUACCUUAUAUGCACAGUGUAAUUUUCCGGCAAAGGGGGUUCGGGCGAACCCCCUUCCGCCCCUCUAAAUCCGCCCCUGCUCUUCAAUUUCCUAAAAGUGAGAAGGAUAAUAAUUUCAUACAUAAUCCAUUUCUUUCCAAUUUGUUCAGCCAUAACUUUUAUCAUUCUGCAUAUCUACGAUAUUUUUUUUCCUUUUAUCAUCACUCAAUACUCCUAGGAUAAUAGUCUUGGUUCAACCGUAUGACUCUUAUAUUUGACCUGGGUGCUAUUCCUGGGAGAAACUUUACAGUGUAAGAGGUAAAACAUAGGUGAGGGUCUGUGCUUUGGUUGCCCUUAUAUCUAAUAUCUGUUCUGUAUCAAAAUUAUAUACGGGGUGUGUGCUUUUGGUUGCCGGUAUAUCAAAUAUCUGCUCUGUAUCACAGUACUACUGUAGCUUUAGUGGUAUAACUUUCAUUGGUUAUUUUAUGCAGUUUGAUGAGCAAAAUGAGCUUUAGUGGUGUAACCCCCAUUGGUUGUUUUAUGCAGUUCGAUGAACAAAAGGAUCAAGUUACUGUUGAGCGUACUCUAAGGGUGGUGUUUUUGGACCCUGAACGCCCUUCUCCAGUAAGAGUUAGACAUAUUAUAUUUUGUUGUUGUACAUUGUGCAAAUGUCCAAUCUCCAACCAAAGUAAUUUGAAUGAUUGAAGGCACUGGAUAAACUAAAACGUCAGUUGGCCCAAGCUGAGGCUGCAGCAGAAGCUGACAAGAAACCUCCAGUUGACACAGGUCCGAAAGUUGUGGGAGAAGGUUUAAUAGUAGAUGAAUGGGUAAGCAUAUCUGAUGUUUGUGUAAAGACAUCAUUCUAAUUCCUGGCCUACUUCAUUCCUCUAACAAUGUGUUUUUGCUCACUAUGCUUACAGAAGGAGCGGAGGGAGAGGUAUCUUGCCCGGCAACAGGUUGAGGCAGUGGAUUCAGUGUAAAGCAGUAAAGGGUUUUUAUGUAAGUUCAUCUUUUGCCAGAAUAGUAAUGUAAAAUCAGAUCCACACCUUUUAUAUAUACUUGACUUUCUUUGGAAGGAUGUUGGAGAAGGGCAAUGUAGUUCUUCAUGUAAAAGUAGAAAAAUGGCUGGAGUGUUACCUUAGUGGUUCUUUGAUUUUUUCGAGAAGAAAAUAUAACAAGUAAAUUAUAACUUCAUGGCCUCUCUGUCCUUUCAGGGUAGGGGUAAGUCUGCGUACAUCUUACCCUCCCCAUACUCACUCGUGUGAAAUUACUGGGUUUGUUGUAACUUCACGAGGUGAGUAAAUCCUCAUCAAUUUUAGCUGCUUAGGAACUGUUGAGAGUGUAAGGUUGGGACAAUUGAAGGAAGUUAAGUGGGAGGGGGAUGUAACAAGAACAUUCAAACUAUAUUACCACACAUAUGUUCCACAAGUAAAUCUUUUGUUGUUUUUAAAAAUCAAAAUCAUCCUGAUUAGGCUUUGGCGAAGUAAGCAAAGCCGUAUAAAGCUUGAGUCUGUCCUCCGUUAGUGAAGAACAUCGAGAUAAUGGUCUUCUUGGUCUAAUAAACGACAACGAGGUGAGUGUCAACCUGUGUUUAUAUCUCCUCCAAGCCAAUUGAAUAGCAACUGCUGCCCAAGUUCUCCAUCCUGGAGAAUAAUAUCUAGCACUUCUCUUGACUUUUUCGUCCACAAAUGUGUACCGAAAAUGUUGUGUUACAUACUUUACAUCGUCAGCUUCAAGACCAAAGGCUUCAGUGGUUUCAAGAGUCACUAAUGAUGAUGAGGAUGGCGGCAGUCGCUCCACGAAGGGUCGUCGGAGGCACCAUGAAAGAAGUUCGUCGCCGCUGAAGUUUCCGGGACCUAACAUGCAGCAACUUUUUACACCGUCUCGAAGUACUUGACUACUUUGGAGAUGGCCUCUCACUAUGAAUAACAUUCUCUGAACUGGAUCGCCCUCUCUAGUUAUCUAUCAGAAAAGCAAAUAUAUCUUAGACGGGGAGAUUAUGGAGAUUUUAUAUAGAGUAAUGCAUAAGUAGUAGUGGGUAUGAGACAUAUUUCAACUCCUAGUCCCGUUCUUUAUAGUGUAUGUAUUGCCUAAUACAAAUGUCUAAAUUUUACAUGACAUUUGGACUUACUGUUUCUCCUUUUGUAAAAAUCAGGGAUUUCACGCGAUCACAUAUGUUCUCCAGGACCAAAUUAUCCAUAUGCUGAAAUAGAGGAACCUGAAGUAUGUGCAGAAAAGUUAGUUUGGGCAACAUUUAUGGACCGAUAUGGCCCAAAAUAGGUCUAUCGUGUUAUCCGAAAAAUACACUCACCAAUCAAUUCUUGCAAGUAAAUGUUACUUUUACUAUAAACUUUUAUACAAUUCAAGUUUAUGCAUUUAUGAGACGAACUUUUUUACACAAUAUAUCAUUAAGAUUUUAAAAGAUCUAUCUAGUGAUUCAUAUAAUUAAAAAAAGUAUAGUUCGGUGCAUAAAGCAUUUCGCGUUUGCAAAGGAGUGUGAUAUAGCCAUAUAGGCAAUCUACCCUGAUACAAGUAUUAGUUGCUAAUUUCACGACUCGAACUCGUGACCUACAAGGAGACAACUUAACCGUCUAACCUAAUGAUUGCUGGGAUGAUAGUCCGUUUAUCAAUUUCAUAUAUGAUUAAAAUAGUCGGAAAGUCAAAUCGCAAGGCGUAAGAAUGGCCUAAUCUACCUCAUUACUAUUCUAUUUGACAGAAUUCUCCUAUUUGUUUAAUACUGUCCAUAUACAUUGUACUCCGAAUUAAAGCAAUGAGAAGUUUACCUGUCUGACCAAGUCCAAACAAAGAUGGUAUUUGAUGUCCCUUCUAAGACCCUCAGGAAGGUUAUGUAUCAUUUCGCAUUCAUCAACUCCACGCGUUGCUGCAUAUCUUUGCCGUUCAUAGUUUCUCACUCUUUGCUUGUAAUCCUGUGGCAAUCUUCUCCUCCUCAUCCACCACUCUACAUUUCUCAUCUUAAGUUGCAUUGCCUGUUUCUUUGAUGUCGUUGCAUGCAAGAAAACCUGCACAUAUUUCAUGUACCAACAUAUAUAUACACAAGACCCUUAAUUAUAGCAUUUUCCUGUGUGUUUAAUUAGGAGAGUUAAUUAAUAUUACCUUGAUGUUACCAAUCAACAUGGUGACCAGAAGUAGCCCACUAGUAAGAACGAUGAUUAUGAAUACUAAUUCUAGCCAAUCUGUUGUGCUCUCCAGGUUGCCAAAAGUACUGUAAAAUAUCCGUAUAGACACAAUAUACUGGAUUAAUUCACUUCAACUAUAUUUUACCGAGUAAAUUUAGAAAAUUAUUUUUUGGGAUAAUUAAAGAAAAAGAAGCUGAUUAAUUGUAUAAGAAUACCUGAGAGUCAUGAGACCCCAGAAAAUGGGAAAGAGUAUUUUCUCAAGACGAUUUUCAUUAGUGACAAGUUGAACAGUCCAUUUAUAAGCUCCAUAGUCAAAACUUUCUUCAGAGGAUAGGCACGUCGAUCUAGCAAGUUUGGUCUCACCCCAUAUGAGUCGACUUUUGUGCUUCACCAGAGUAGUUGUUCCAUAAUAUAUUGACUCUUCGCAGGCCAACAUUCUGAGGCCACAACCUUUUGUAAUUUCACACUGUUGUUUCAAACAUUUCGCAGCCCUUUGGAUUCCUAGCAAGUACCAACAUGCUCCCACAGCCUGCCCAUGUUAUAUACUACUAUAGUUAAGUUCCUUUUCAGCGUAUGAAUAAGGGGUCGUUUGGUCCAGAACAAGGAUAUUCCGGGAUUAUAAUCCAGCAUCCUAUAUGUAUAUGAGAUAGAUAAUACCAAGAUUAUGGUAUAAAAGUUAAUUAUACCGGUUUUAGUAAAUACCAAUAAUCAAAUGACCCCUAUUAAUGGAGUCUUAAUUAGUUUGCUUAUAUUGAUGGUUUAACAAGUAUUUAUACAAUCAUGAACUAACUAAUGAGAUAAAUUAUAAAUAAAAUAAAUAUUACUGAUAAACACUAAUUUGUACGCUGCUAAACUAGUAAUUAGCAUAUUCUAACAGGUUAAAUAUAUAAUACUGAAGUUAACUUAUAUGCGCAGUUGAUUGCUCUUGAUAGCACGAAUUCAUUAUUUCCUUUUAUACAAAUUCUAGUAGGAUGCAAGAUGAGGAAAUUUAAGAAAUAUGGCCGUUGUACGUAAUUCUAUUCCGUCUGAUAAACAUUUGAAAGCAUACUAUCUAACUUUUAAUUAUUGGAAAUGAAGAAAAGUAGAUUCUUUAACCGACUAAUCGAGCCCGGUUAGAUAUCCUUUUCCAACAUAUAUAUGGUAUGCCAAAUUCUCUAAUAAUUUUGACCUGCUAAAAGAUAUUGACCUUUGAACUUUCCCUACACAAUUAAUUAUCGGUUAUCGAACUAAAUUGAAGCUUUUAAUGGGUUAGGCGGAGUGAUAUCCGAUAUAGUCCAGCCCAAUGUAGAUAUAAGAAACGAGAAAUAAUAACUACUCCCUCCUAUCCACAAUAAGUGAUUUUUUGGAUGUUUUCAUACAAAUUAAGAAAUUCACCUUUUAAUCUUAAUUAACAAUGAAAUUGACCAUAUUAACAUUUCCUAUCUCUUCACAUAAACACCCCAAACACAUACACCAACAUUAUUUACUCCAAGGGCAAUAUAGAAAAAUAAUAAUUAAUUCAUUCUUGAAAUCUGGAAAAAUCACUUAUUUUGGACCACAAAAAAGACCAUAUAUCAUGCCUGACUAAACUUCCUGUUAUCUUCAACUCUAAGCAGUAAUCUUUCUUUCUCUUCUUUUAAUGUCCAAUUCUUUUUCUAAAAGAGAUUGUCCUCUAUCUUGAUAAAGGCCUAUGAGAUUUCACGAGCAGAUUGGUGUUAAAGGAGGAUGCGAUAUGACGCUUUAAGAAUAAAUAUUUGUCACUUUUUUCUUUCCGAGAAAUUAGUUUAUAGAAGUUUGGCCAAAGUCUUAAAAUAUAUAUGUUCUUUAUCAAUUUAAUUAUGAGCAAAAUUAUAUUGCAGCAUAUGACUUGUUAUUUAACUAAUUUUAAAACAUGUUAAUCUAAUUCGAUUUAGCGUGAGAAUACAUCUAUCAACAAGCGAGAAAUACCAUAUGAAUUAUGAUUAUAUAUUGAGAGUAACGUUUCAAUAAAUAAUCAUAAAGUAAUAUAUAUACUAAGUAAGUAGAUACUUGCGUCCUGGGAGUGGUGAAAAGAAAAGAAAAUAGGUAUGUACUUACGUGGGAAGCGACAAAAUAGGCGAUCAAGUUGAGAGCAAUUCCCCACCAAACAGUGCCAAAUAUGUAGCCGGAGAGACCUUGCAUCCGCCGCAAUAGGCAAACGGAGUGAUAGAUUUUGGGCAGGUACUGAAACAGAAACAUUAUUAACAACACUGUCAUCACUGUUGUUAUAGAUCCUUUCUCCAGUAGAUCUGGAAUCGCUACCCACAUCACUAUCUGCAAUAAAUAUAUAAAAAUCAACAAUGAAUUACUAAUGCCUCCAAAAGUCUACAAUCAUAUAAGCUACUGCAUAUAUAUGUUGCUAAAAAUUAUGGAAAUUGAGGCACUGAGAAAUCUUCUCACGCAUAUGACUAUCACAAAAUCUCUUGACCAUCAAAACAAUAGGAAAUUAUUUUUCAAGACAACAUACGUUAAAAAUAGUGUUUAUAUAUAUAUGAAAUUUGGUAAUUACGAUUUCUUUUUCUUUUCCUAUUUCUUCGUAUUUCGUAAGUUAAGGGAGCGAAUAGCGAGGGUUGAGGUCAGCUCCUUCUUUUCAUAGUUGGGGUGAUCAUCAUGUAGCUAUAGCAUCCCCUUCCCUUUCCUUAAUUUAAUAAUGAAACUCAAAAACGAAAACAAAAGGAGCAAAUAGUGUCUUCUUAUGCGUCCCUUCUCAUAACAAUGCAAUUAAUUCAUACUAAUGCUUAAUUAUUUAUGCCAAGUGAAAUGAAAUCAACCUAAAACAUCUCUUAGAUUUGCUCAAAUCAAGAAAUGUUCGUCAAGUUUUCCUUUUCUCUUUUAAUAAGUAUCGACCCUUGUUCCAUUUUUAAUGACAUAUUUAAAAAAUUCAUUUUCUGUCUGUGCGGGCAGUUAGAAAAUGGAUAUGCGGGCAUAUCACGUUAGGUAAAAUCAGAAAUAAAGUUAUUCGGAACAAGGUGAGUGUGGCCCCUUUGGAGGACAAGAUGCAGGAUGUAAGACUUACAUGGUUCCGACAUGUGAAGAAGAGAGACACUGAUGCUCCGGUGAGGAGGUGUGAGAGGCUGGCAUUGGAGGGCCAACGGAGAGGUAGAGGCAGCUCGAAAAAGUAUUGGGGAGAGGUAGGCAAGAUAUGACAUUGCUCCAUCUUACUGAUGACAUGACCAUGAAUAAGAAUGUAUGGAGAUUGAGAAUAAAGGUAAAGGGUUAGAUAGCCAAGUGUAGUCCUUGUUUGUAACAGUAACUUUGAUACACCACUUAGUGUCUUUUCGUAUUCCUAGACUUCUGUUACUGCUUGUUGUUGUCUUUUGUUUCAGUUUUUUGAUUGCAUUACCUAGUGCUAUUUUUGUAUUUUUGCUUCGAUUGUCAGAUUGAUUUGCUUGUUAUUGCCUUUCCCCUUUCCUUCCUGAGUCGAAGGUCUACCGGAAAUAACUCCUCUACCUUCUUAAAAGCAAGGGUAAGGUUUGCGCACACUCUACCCUCCCCAGAUCCCACUUGUGAGACUACACUAGGUAUGUUGUUGUUGUUGUUAUUGUUAUUGUUUCUGACGGACAAAUUUCUGUGUAAAUAUUUUUAAAGUUUUGACUCUGCAAUAGUGUAAAUAUUUCUUAAGUUAUGUACAUUGAUAGUGUAAAUAUUUUUUACAAUAUUAAUGUAGUCUAACUAGAGAGAGUAGAUUAGUUGUCAUAUUUUAAAAUAUUAGUAUAGGUUAUAUUACUUAUCAUAAAGAUUAACUUGUAAUUAUCCAAAGUGAUAUGAUUGUGUAAAUAUCUUUUACACCAUCCGGAACUUAAAAUCUUAGUGAUAUGUUUUAAUAGAAAUUGACAUGGCGGGUAGACCACAAAAUAUUAAGGGUACUUUGGGUAUGAUACAUCUCUUUAGUUUAUGACUCAAAUUUUUUAUUUUUCUUAAGCUCGAUAUAUAAUAAGACGGAGGGAGUACAAAAUUAAUCUUUCCUCUCAAAAUCCUUGCUUUAAAGAGAAGGGAAACAAGAAGGAAAACUAAGCUCCAAAUGUAUAAAAGGCAAGGAAAGAUUAAAAACGGACUCUAAAAAAUAGUACUAGUAGUCUAGUAGUACUGUUCUUCAUUCAGAAGCUAUGGAAGAAAAACAAAAAUUCGGAAAUAUUCGUGAUAGAUUACUCGUCAUUAUUAUUCUUCUAUGCAUGAUAACGGUAAGUGAUUGAAGUCUUGAACUCUUGAUCUAAAUGGGAUCUCAAAAUCCGUAAAUAUAUAUAUGUAAUUCUUCUUGUAAACAAAUUUGUUUGAGUUCCUCUUUCUGUUGUGAGUAGAAAGAAAAGACACUUGGUUACCUGAUCACUUGUUCUUACUGCAACUGCUUAAGGUUAUCACUGCAUGCAUAACAAACAACGGCCAUGACAUGCAUGCCUUUUGUCUUCUUUUACUACAAUUUUCAUACUAAAAUACAAAACAUGCAUCACCAUGUUUAUCAUACCACAAAAUAGAAAAAAAGUUGCAUAUCAUAAAUCAUCUUGAACUCACCUGCGGCAAAGGAAGGAUGACAAAUAGAUCAAAAAAGAACCCUUUUUUAGCCUUCAAAUAUCGUAAAGCCACAGAACGUGGAGGAUUCUUAUCAUGAGGACGUAAUUUGUUCAUUCUGAAUUGUAGCCACAUGUUCCAUAAAUGCAAGGCAUCAGUCAUGCACCGGAGAGCCGUGACCGUGACGGCGAACCACCCGUCGAUGAAGAGGCAAAUACAAUUCUCACUAAUAGAAAGAGCAUAGAAAAAUAGUGGAUCCACAAAAAGUCCAGUGGCACAUACUAGUAAGAAUAUUCUGUUCCAUUCUUGAACCCAAGGCGCUCUCGGGUCUAUAACUUUCCCGGAGAAAAAGCCUGCCAGUCCUCCUCGACCACGACCACGACCACUACAAACUCCGCAAUUGUUGUUGUACUCAUUAGAAUUAUUUUCUUCUUUUCCCUCCACUUCUAUUUCUUCAUCGAUGUCUUGCUCCUCAUCCUCGUCAUCAUCAUUACUGUCACUGUAAUUAUGUGAUAGUUCAAGUUCAAGAUUAUGAGUAGCCAUUAAUUAAUUUUUUUUCAAGAUUUUUUAAUGCUUCUUUUGUUUAUGGGUUUGGGAAUAUGGAGGCUCUAUAGAGAAGGGUGAUUUAUUAGGUGAAAGAAUGGAGUGGGGUUGUGUUUUUGGGCAGAGAGGAGAUAUGAGAAUAUAUGCACUGAUUUUUCUUAAUGUUAGAGAAGUGAUAAUUCGAAACAAUGACAAGAAGAGGACAUAAAUUAUUGUAGAUAUGGGGAGAGCUCAAAGCUGACAAAAAUGGUAGGAACUUCCUAUACUACCCCGCUGUAAUAUGUCUACAAUAUCCAAAAUGAAAUUUAAAAAGUAAAAAGGAGAUUCCAAGAAUUUGUUGCUAUACGUACAUUGUAAUGAACGAACUCGAUCGGUGUUUGAAUUUUUUACAUUCAUUUUUUGCAAAACUCGAAGACUAAUUCAGAGAUACUGUUUUUUAUUCUAACAAAAACCUAAAAACACUUUUUAAUAGUAGUACUUUUUACCAACUAAGACUGUUCGAUUUCUGAUCGGGGACCAAAAAAACUUCAGCUUUUGUAGGCUAAUGUAUGUAACGUUUCGGGGAAAAGGCAAACUUUGUGGUUUUGUGCAACUUUUGCUUGUCAUUUAAAACAUCAAUGUAUUCCUAUAACUUUUACUUGUCAUCAAUUAUCUUCCAAUAACUCCAAUUUUGCCUUCUACAAUUCGACAACUAAUUGUAACGCGAGAGAUGCAAGAUUUGACCAUUGUUCAAGCUUGUACAUAGUCCUCUAGUUAAUUUCCCUACGCUCCACUUAAAAAAGAAAAAACACACAUGCAUACACACGUGAUCGCACAUUUUGCACUUUUAUACAAGGAUAGUAUGGAAAUUUUUUUACAUUAUCAAUUGUNNNNNNNNNNNNNNNNNNNNNNNNNNNNNNNNNNNNNNNNNNNNNNNNNNNNNNNNNNNNNNNNNNNNNNNNNNNNNNNNNNNNNNNNNNNNNNNNNNNNNNNNNNNNNNNNNNNNNNNNNNNNNNNNNNNNNNNNNNNNNNNNNNNNNNNNNNNNNNNNNNNNNNNNNNNNNNNNNNNNNNNNNNNNNNNNNNNNNNNNNNNNNNNNNNNNNNNNNNNNNNNNNNNNNNNNNNNNNNNNNNNNNNNNNNNNNNNNNNNNNNNNNNNNNNNNNNNNNNNNNNNNNNNNNNNNNNNNNNNNNNNNNNNNNNNNNNNNNNNNNNNNNNNNNNNNNNNNNNNNNNNNNNNNNNNNNGGGAAUCUGUUACACAUCCUCAAGGUGCCAAAGCACAACAAAUCUCAAGUCAGGCACAAGUUCCAACAGCUAGAGUCAAAGAAACAAUAGAGGGAACAGAUGAACAUAAGUUCCCUUGUUGACUGUACCAGUCAACUCCUCACAACUGUAAAGUCGCUGUAACUAUUCCUCAGCACACAUGCAACAGCACAAACAAUGCAAUAAUCACUUUAUUGGGAAUGCCUUGUACCGGAUAUUUGCUUGCAUCGUCUAAGUGACAUCACCUGGAUAUUAUUAACAUGAAGCAAAGGAAAAACAUACAUUUGCACCUCCGAAAAAUCGAUCAAGUUUCCUCUCAAGUGUGUUGCCAUCUUGCAAGUGACUUCCAGACUUUAAGAACAAAGAACAACGGAAUGAAGGGCCAGUUUCCAGUUCUGUGUUAUCAAUAUGUCCUUAGUUGUGUUGUACUUGUAUUAGAAUGAACUACUUAUAAUUCCUACUUAGCUUAGCUAGAAGCAUUGUGUAGGAAAUUUUGUGUUUGUGUCUUGGCUAGAGUUAGUCGAGUUGUGAGCUUUGUAAUAGAGUUAUUACAAAGAGGCUUAUAAUAGAGUUAUUACAAGUGAGUGAGGGAUUAAGAGUUUAAUUCCUAGGUUACAAUAGGUUGUAAUCUAAAGCUGCUCGGUUAGUGAAGUUGAAAUCCUACGAGUGUAGGUCGUGAUUUUUAAUCCCGUGAGUUGGGAGUUUUUCACGUAAAACUCUGUCGUGUCAUUUACUUAUCUCUUGUUGUGUGUGUUCUGUGGGAACCGAUAGAGAACUAGGUUCUCUAUACAGUUUGGUGGACCCUAGGUUUCCAUCAAUUGGUAUGAGAGCAGGUUCUUUCUAUCAGGCUAACACCUAGAAAGGAUCCAAAUGACUGCUCCACCAAACUUUGAAGAAGGUCAAUUAACCUACAGACCACCAAUAUUCAAUGGACAGUACUACGGAUGGUGGAAGGCAAGGAUGGAUGACUUUAUUGCUGAAGAUUCAGAGUUAUCUGCGACGGACCCUUCAUCCCCAUGAAAACUGUUGGCGAGCCAGCAGUGACAGUUCCAAAGACAAGGAAGGAGUACAGCGAUGCUGACUGGAAAUCCAUAGAGAAGAACUUCCGAGCAAAAAAGAUUCUCGUCUGUGGUAAUGGACCAGAUGAGUACAACAAAAUCUCUGCCUGUCAAUCUGCCAAGGAGAUCUGGGAAGUUCUCCAAACAACACAUGAAAGAACAACUCAAGUCAAGCAGUCAAAGAUCAACAUGCUCACCACUGAGUAUGAACUCUUCAGGAUGAAGAAUGAUGAGUCCAUUCAGGACAUGCACACUCGAUUCGCCUCUAUCAUCAACGAGCUCCACUCUUUAGGAGAGAUCAUUCCAAGGAAUAAACUUGUCAGAAAAAUACUUAGUGUAUUACCUAGUUCCUGGGAAAGCAAAGUAAAUACUAUCACGAAGGCAAAGGAUCUGCAAAAGUUGACCAUUGAUGAACUCAUUGGAAAUCUGAAGACUUAUGAAAUGAACAAGAAGAAGGACCAUGAAAGAAGAGAGCCCAAAAAGGAGAAGAACCUGGUCCUCAAGGCAAACAGUAAUUACUCAGGUGGUGAGGAUGCUGACAUGACCUACCUGACGAAACGAUUUCAGAAAAUGAUUCACAGGAAUGAAGGCAUUCCAAAAAGGGGCAGCUCCAACAAGCUAAGAGGUUAUCACUUGUGUCAUUAAUGUGGUAAGCCAUGACACUUCACAGAAAUUUGAAGUCUCUCUUAGAAGAAGCUUAUAUCUUUGGCAAAUAUUUUAAUUGAUGCUUAUUAUAGUCUUAUAAAUGAUAAAAAUGCAUUAACUGUGGAACUAGGAGAAGUAGAACACGAGAGAGAUGAUCUGGUAGUCGUAGUGGUUGACCUAAAAGAAACCAUCGAGGUUCUAAAGAAAGAAAAAGAUGUUCUGAUUAAAAAAAUUUAAAACGUGGAACAUGAGAGAGAUGACCUGUUGGUAGUUGUUGUGGAUCUAAAAGAAAUAAUAGAGGAACUAAAAAGGGGAAACAGUUUUGGGAAUAUCCAAAAGGGAAAGAAAGUUGCAAGUGAGGCACACAUUAAGCUUGAAAAUGAACUCAAAUAUGUAAAAUCUAGUCUGUGUGCUGAGCUUGAAAGAAACAGACAAUUUCAGGAAGAUCUAGGCAGAGUUAAAAAUGACCUAGAAAAAUCUCUAAAGUGGACAUGGUCCUCUGAUACAAUCACUUCCAUGUUUACAAGCAAUGGUGGGAACAUGAAGGUAGUCGGGUUUCAAAAGGAAAGGACUCCCUACAAUCCACAUAGCAAGUAUGUUAUUGUCCCUGAUAACUGGCUUUGGACUCACUGUGGCAACACUGGACACUUUAAAAAAAACUAUAAGUAUAGAAUUUAGUCCCAACAGAAAACCAAGUUUUUGUUGAAAAGGUAACUACUGCUAAGGAACCUGCUUUCUCCAUUAAGAAACGUGUAUUGCCUACUUGGACAAAAAAAAGUUUAAUUCGCCCCUUUCCUCACUACAAGGGACCCAAACUUGUUUGGGUUCCAAAGUCUAAUCCUUGAUUUUCUUGUGCAUGGAGCAGUGAAAGAAAGCAAUCAAAAAUGGUAUAUGGAUAGUGGUUGUUCUAAGCAUAUGACUGGAAGCAUCGAUGAUCUUCUUUCACUCAAAGCCCUGCAAGGAGGCAGUGUGUCCUUUGGCAAUAGCAAAAAGGGAUACAUUCUGGGAGUAGGAAGAAUUGGGAAGACACUCACUCACUCAAUUGAGAAUGUGUACUAUGUGAAUGGCUUGAAAUAUAUCCUACUGAGUGUUUCUCAAAUCUUCGACAAAGGAAACAAAGUGGAAUUUUUAUCAAAACCCUGCACAGUCACAAAUCUCGUGACUGGUGAAGUGGUUCUGUUGGCAAAAAAAUUCAAAAACAUCUAUGUUACUGAUUUUGAGUCCUUACACAAUGGGGAUCUUACAUGUCUGAGUGCCAUUGAUGAUGAUGCUGAGUUGUGGCACCGAAGAUUAGGACAUGAAAGCUUUUCAUUGCUGAAUAAGUUGGUCAAGAAGGACCUGGUCCGUGGGCUGCUCGAGUCAAGGUUCAAAGGUCAUAAGGUGUGUGAUGCUUGUGUAAGAGGAAAGCAAGUCAAGUCCUCUUUUAAGCCCAAGAAACGAGUAAGCACCUCAAGGCCACUUGAUCUCCUCCAUAUGGAUCUAUAUGGACCUAUGAGGGUGUUCGGUAGAGGAGGAAAGAAGUACAUCCUUGUCAUAGUUGACGACUACUCCAGAUUCACAUGGACCUUAUUUUUUAGAACCAAAGAUGAAACCUUUCCAAUUUUCGUUGCAUUUGUGAAGCAGAUUCAAGUGAAGAUGAGCCAUAAUGUUGUAAGUAUAAGGUCUGAUCAUGGCAUAGAGUUCGACAAUGCAAAAUCUGACGAAUGUUGUGCUGAAAAUGACAUAAGUCACAAUUAUUUAGCUCCCAGAACACCCCCAACAAAAUGGUAUUGUGGAGAGGAAAAAUAUGACUCUUGAAGACAUGGCAAUAACUAUGCUAAUUGACAGUGGCAUAGCAAAAGGCUUCUGGGUAGAGGCAGUCAACACUGCUUGCUACUUGGUGAACAGGUGCAUGAUUAGGUCCCUCCUGAACAAAACUCCAUAUGAAUUGCUGAAUGGAAGGAAGCCCAAGCUAACUCACCUAAGAGCGCUUGGAUCCAAAUUCUUCGUUCUUAAUAAUGGUAAGGAAGCUUUGGGGAAAUUUGAUGCCAAAAGUGAUGAAGGAAUCUUUCUUGGAUAUUCCUUACAAAGCAAAGCAUACAAGGUCUACAACAAAAGGACUCAAUGUGUUGAAGAAAGCAUACAUGUAAUCUUUGAUGAAUCACACCACCUUUGUGGGAAAAAUUCACAUGAUAAGAUUGAUCAAGAUAGAGAGUAGUUGAAGGUUCCUGGAGAAGUCAUUGAUAUGGCAAUGGAAAGGCAGAAUUGAUGAGCCAAGUCAAGGAACUCAACGAAGAAAAUAUAACAGAAUCCUCAGUUGAUGCAGAAGAACCUGGUUCCUCCAUCACAACAAUUGAAGUAGAGGAUAGAGUUGCUGAUGCGGUGCAAGAAACUCCUAAAGCUAAGCAGAGAAGUGGUACUCACCCAUCCAUAGAUGCCAACAAUGGAUCCCAUUAUGAGGAACUUGGAUCUUCCCACAAUGAAAUUCUGGUGUCUAACUCGAAGCACAAAAGUUCACAUCCUCUCCAAAAUGUGAUCACUCCUCUUGAUUUAGGAAUUCAAAUCAGAUCAAAGACAAGAAACUCGUUUUCCUUCUCAGCUUUCCUUUAUCAAAUCGAGCCUAAAUAUAUCAAGGAAGCAUUGAAAGAUGUUGACUGGAUUACUUCUAUGCAAGAUGAACUUCAUUAAUUUGAGAGGAACCGCGUAUGGCACCUGGUCCCUCGACCCUCAGAUAGAACUGUCAUAGGAACUAGGUGGGUGUUCAGAAACAAGCUUGAUAAAUUUGGGAAUACAACAAGGAACAAGGCCAGGUUAGUAGUUCAAGACUACAAUCAAGAAGAAUGGAUAGACUAUGAUAAAACUUUUGCUCCAGUUGCUUGUUUGGAAGUCACCAGAAUUCUCAUUGCUUUUGCAUCUCAUAUGGAAUUCAAAUUGUUCCAAAUGGAUGUCAAAAGUACAUUUCUGAAUCGGUAUUUAAAGGAAGAAGUCUUCAUCAAACAACCACCUGGGUUUGAGUGUCAUGAGCAUCCUGAGUAUAUAUUCAAACUUGACAAGGCAUUAUAUGGACUGAAGCAGGCCCCUCGUGCUUGGUAUGAACGGUUGUCCAAGUUUCUUCUUGAAAAUGGCUUUACAAGAAGAAAAAUUGAGAACACCCUAUUUCUAAAGAAACAGGGAAGGAACCUGCUCAUUGUACAGGUUUAUGUUGACGAUAUAAUUUUUGGUGCAAUAAAUGACUCCUUGUGUGAGGAGUUUAUAGAGCUUAUGGGAAGCGAGUUUGAAAUGAGCAUGAUGGGGGAAUUAAAUUUUUUCCUAGGGUUGCAAGUUAAGCAAACCCCUAAAGGAAUGAUGAUAAGCCAAUAGUAGUACAUUAAAGAGCUACUAAAGAGAUUUGAGAUGGAAAGCAGAAAAACCAUUGAUACUCCUAUUGCCAGUGCAACCCGUCUAGACUUGGAUGAACCCAGUUCUCUUGUGAACGAAACCAUGUACAAAGGCAUCAUUGGUUCACUCUUGUAUCUCACAGCUAGUAGACCUGAUAUUGUAUUCAGUGUUGGAUUAUGUGCUAGAUUUCAAUCUAGUCCAAAGGAAUCUCAUCUUAAAACUGCCAAGAGGAUUCUAAGGUAUCUUAAAGGAACGCAAGACCUGAUUCUUUACUAUCCUUCAAGGGACAAUUUCGACUUAAUUGGGUAUGCUGAUGCUGAUUAUGCUGGUUAUCAAGUCGAUAGAAAAAGUAAAUCUGGCAUAGCACAUUUUCUAAGAUCAUGUUUGAUUUCAUGGGGGUACAAAGAAAUAAAACUCUGUAGCUCUUUCAACUACAGAAGCAGAGUAUGUGGUAGCUGCCUCUUGCUGUGCGCAACAACUAUGGAUCAAGCAACAACUGGAGGACUUUGGUGUAUUUUAUGAUUGCGUGCCAUUACUGUGUGAUAAUACUAGUGGUCUCAACAUGACAAAGAACCCGGUUCAACAUAAGAGAACAAAGCACAUUGAUGUGCAACAUCAUUUUCUCAGAGACAAUGUUGAAAAGGGUUUUAUCUACAUGAAGUUCUGCAAAACAGAAGACCAAGUAGCAGAUAUCAUUACCAAAGCACUCAACAGAGAGCACUUUGAAAAGAAUCGAUUUGCAUUGGGGCUGAUAAAAUUGAACUAAGCACCAGGUCCCUCUAUCAUUAGCUAUGAAAGAAUGAACAGGUAAAAACAGCUAAAAAGUAUUUUCUGGCAAGUACUAACUCAUCUUUAUACCGUUACAGGUAGACACACACGACAACUACAUAGCAAACAAGUAGCUAAUGACAUUGCAUCUUGGUGAAAAGACGAGGCUCACAUUUACAAAACUAAGUCAGGGAGCCUGGUUUCCUUGACACAUGUUAGUAGUUACUUUGUAUUCUCAUGCACAUUUUAAAACGGCUAUAAAAGUUCCAUGUUAUUAAAAGUUUUGAUCUCUCUCUCUCUUCUCUUUAGAACUCAAACGUCACACCCAUUACUAAACGACCUGUCUACUCGGUGAUUCGUACCCGUUUGUAACCGGUCCCUCACUUCCCUUAAAUAAUCCCAAAAGCUGUCUCUUUCUUCACUUUCCACAUCAAAGACAAAAAUUCCCUUUUCUCUAUCAAAGCAAACACAUUUCUUCUUGUGUCCUCACUAUAAAUCUCCAAUAUGUCUCAAAAUCCAGAAGUUUCAAAUGUCUCUAGUGCAGUCCCCACUGUGUCUUCGUCUCAUAAAGCACAAUAAUAGGAGUUGAAGUCCCCCAUGUCACCAUUACAAACCCCAUACCAGACUAACAACCACCUACUACUUCAUUUCCAACCCAAUCAAGUUCUGGUUCUCACCGCAGUCGUAAAACUCAAAAUCCCAAAUGAUUCGUUAUUGCGACCUCUCCUUCUGCCUCGCUAGUAAAUAUGGCAGAAGGCGAAAUAGUAGAUGGAGACGAAGGUCAGGAAGUUUCUAGUCAGAAAGUUGGGAAAAGCUCUGAGACCCAACAGGAUGUGGCUUGUAGUGGCGAAGUUUCAGUAGUGGCUGUUCCAAGCUUUGAUCUGAAUAUUGCCAGCCCUACAAGUAAUGUUCCUCAUGUAUCCUCUGAUUCUAUUUUGGGGGUAAAUGAGCAAGAAUCCAUUGAGAACAUGUUACUAAUUAUUGCAAAUGGAGUUUUCGUUGGUGGUUAUGAGGGUAAUAAUGAGACCAUUGGGUCUCAGGGGGAAGAUGAAAGUCACAAAGUUAAAGGUGGGGAACUGGCUCUCCUUGAAAACUUUGCACCGGUCAGUACUACUAAGAAAAUAACAGAGGGACCUGAUCCCUCUGCCCAAGAAGAGCAUUUUGUACUUGGGAUGAAACCCCUUGCUCCUCAAAGGAGCCCCAUGUCAGUGUUGAUCCUGCUCAUUCUCCUCACUUCGAUGAUGAGCCGUUGAACUUUGUCAUUCAUGAGAUGAGAUCUCUAUCUGAAGAGAAAAAUGAAAAUAGUGAGGAAGACUAUGAUGAUGUGCCUGUAGCAAGAUUCAUUACUUUUAGAAGUGGAAGGGCAGUUCCUAAAGCGCCCACUCUUAAAAGACCCACUACCAGGCUAUAAAAGAAGGAAGCCCUUGAAAUUGUUCUGAAGAAAAAUAAAGAAGAGAAGAAAAGGAGGAGGUUGGUGAAAUGAGGAAAGCUGGUGAAUGAGGAAGAAGUGCCUCCAGCACUACUUGUUGAUGUUGAUGAUGAAGAAGUGAAUGAGGAACCUGUUUCCUUAAUUCGUAAGUCUUCUAAAGAACCUGUGAUUCUAAAACCCAGGAGAGAGCCAUCUGUGAAAGCUGUGGAAGUGGAAAAUGUUGAGGUAGACAAGUCUGAUGAAAAGGUGUCUGAAAAGUGUGGUAAAAAUUUGUCUGAGAAGUCUGGUGUGAAAUUGUCUGAGAAGUUUGCAAAGAAAGAGAAAAGUGUGAAAACGUCUGUGAAAAGGAAGGUUGGUGACAACGAGGAACCUGGUUCCUCCAAGAAGGCCAAAGUAAGUAUGGCCAAGGAUGAAAGCAGAGCAAACCUGAGAAAACAGAGGGUACUGUGAGGCAGAAUAUUUUCCCCUGACAUUCUGGAUAUGACAGGGAUGCGUCAACUGGUUGAUAUUUGUAAGUUUCAAAAGUGGACACACUUUUUCACCAAUGAUAUCCCCAAGGUAUAUGAGGAAGAAGUGCGUAGCUUCUACGCAGACAUGUUCACAGUGGAGGAUGAUAACAUCUGCUUGAAGGUGAACGGAGUAUACUUUUUGAUGCACGAGGCUGUAUUGAGGAACAUUUUGAGAGUGCCCACUGAAGGGAUCUCAUCCAUUGAGGGGACUUGUUCUCCCAAUUUUAGAAGUGCUAUUCUGAAGGAUGAUGUUGUGCAGCAAGGGGAACAAAUGUACAAAAAGUCCCUCCUACCAGUGUAUCAACUAUUGUUCCAGGUCUCAUGAUCGAGCAUAUGAAGAAAGUGACAAACUUUAAGGAUGGUAAUCAUGGGUUGCCCUACGGGUUCUUGAUCACUAAGGUGUUUAACUUCUUCAAAGUCCCUUUGGGAAAAACAACAGUGGGAACUCGCAAGCAGACCUUCUCAAAGAUCACCUUGGAGGAAUGUGUGUGUAUUGAUAAGAAUGGAGUGGUUGGCAGCAAUUCCUUUAUCUCGCAAUUGAUUGAUGCUUAGAAUGCUGCAAAUGAAGAGAUAAGGAGGUUGAAGGCGCGGAAUGCCAUUCUUGAAGGGGAGCUUAGUCAGUCCCAGAAGGCACCUGGUUCCAGCAGUGCACAAGGCACAGAAAUUGCCUGUCUGACCAAGGAGAAUACAGAUCUUAGGAAACAGGUCGAGGACCUGAAGGAGCUGCUUCUUAACGAGCAAGUAUCUUCAAAUGCUCGAAUAGAUAUUCUCCUCAGUAUCCUUUCCUCUUCAUCCCUGCUUCCCCCUUCUAGUGCUCCUUAAACCAGUUCCCUUCCCAGUGUCCAGUGAAAUAUUAUCUGUCCUACCCUAGUCCUUUUAUUUGUUUUGUUGUUUUGUGGUUGGUACUUUUAAGUUGUUUUGAUUUGUGAAUAGUUGUAUAACAAUGGUCCUACUACUUAUGUUCUCCAUUUUUUAAAAUUAAUGAGCAUCUCUUUUUUUCUAUGCAUGUUAUACUCUUAUGCUAUAUUUUUAGCCAUGCUUGUGUGCACACAUGUGGCAUGAGUUAACCAUGCUGAACUUCUUUUUGCUUAUUACUUGUGAAUAAUCUUUGUAUGAUGCCAAAAGGUGAAAAAAUAAUUGAGAGGGGGAACAUGUUUAGGGGGAAUACAGGAUGGUAAUCUGGUACUCAGGGGGAACUUCAAUUAUAGGUUUGUCAUCAUCAAAAAGGGAAAAAUUAAUAAGUUAUGUGCCUUUUUAGAUUUUGAUUAUCUAACAAACUUUAUGAUAAGAACCAGACCGGGAACCUGUUACACAUUCUCAAGGUUCCAAAGCACAACAAAUCUCAAGUCGAGCAGAAGUUCCAACAACUAGAGUCAAAGAAACGAUAGAGGGACUAGAUGGACAUCAGUUCUCUUAUUGACUGUACCAGUCAACUCCUCAGAGCUGUAAAGUCACUUCAAUUGUUCCUCAGAACACAUGCAACAAUACAAAUAGUGCAUCGAUCACUUUAUUGGGAAUGCGCCAGAUAUUUGCUUGCAUCAUCCAAGUGACAGCACUUGGAUAUUAUUAACAUGAAGCAAAGGAAAAACAUACACCUGCACAUCCGAAAAAUCGAUCAAGUUUCCUCUCAAGUGUGUUGCCAUCUUGCAAGUGACUUCCAGACUUCAAGAACAAAGAACAACGGAACAAAGGACCAGUUUUCAACUUUGUGUUAUCAAUAUGUCCUUAGUUUUGUUGUACAUGUGAUAAGUGAAGUGACAUAUUAUAAUAAGUUAAAUUACACUUAUAGUGUAAAAACUUUGUUCCAUGAAUAUAACUUAAAUCCAAUUACUUAUUAAUAAGUGAUCAUUUAUCAUUCCAUCAAUCAUGUAAUGCAGUGAUUUAGCCCACAACCAUUAAGAAUUAGCUAGCUUCUUUUAUUUUUCAUGUGACUUAAAGUUUGAGAUGUGUUGCAGUAGGUCCGAAUUCCUAUUUGUAAUCUUGGUCCAUCUUGGCCAGAAGCAAAUAUAUACUGCACGUAUCUAUUCAUGUUUUAGAUAUGAGGAGAACUUCACUAAUCUAUUUGUUCUUUAAUUCCUGAGAUUUAGGUACCUUCUGUAUAUAGUAUAGUACGUAUUAAUAAAUACUGAUAUACUACUACUAUAUUGAUAUGCUUCCCAAAACUGUGUAGCACCUAAUGCAGUCUAACUGUUAUAACUCUUGAGAGAUUAUUGGAGCUAUUGGUGGACAAAUAUAUUUCUGGAGCACAUUUUCUAUUAAGAGCACAACAGCUUUGUAUACAGUCGGAACCGAGCUCGCCUACAACAUGGCAGGUUAGGCUCGAAACAUGACAACCAAAGACUAAAAAUCGACCCCUGAGUCCCACCGAGCUAGAACCCGCGGUCAGAACGCCUGUCUUCGAGAAUAUGAAUUCCGUAAUCUCGGAGUCAACUUAGCCCUGAUCGAGCUCGAAGAAACAUUGUUAGCAUAACCAACAGAAGACCGAAAUAUCCGUGACUGGUCGGAUAUUAUGGUGGAAAUCUCGGUACAAAUCAAUAAGGAACCGACAAUCAGUGAAUCAAGAGAUCUUUUACCUUUUAUAGAAUUGUACCUAAAGUAGGACUCCUCUACUAUAUAAAGGGGGGUCUGAUUAUUCAUUGGAACACAUUAUAACACGUAUCCCAAAGCAAUACAUUGUUAUUCUCUUUAAGUUCUUAUUAUUCUAUCUUGAUAUUGUUCGAAAUACGUUCGUCUCGAGGUGAGUAACCUUUCAAGGCUGAAACUGUUCAAUUCAUGCGGUUUGCAUUUACUUUAUCGUUAUUUACUUCAAUUGCAAUCUGAUUUAUCAUUUUGUAUCAAUUUAAUCCACGUAUCCUUAAAACCACUUACAAAUUCAAUUAUUAUCCGAUUUUGAGGUUAAACAGUUUGGCGCCCACCAUGGGGCUAAGGAUAAUAGUGGUUAUUUGAUACAAAUCUCCAUAACACAUACUACUUUACACUUAUUCUUUGAAGUGUCUCUAAUUUUAGGUUAAAACUCAAAAUGUCGAACUCUCAAUCAGCACCCCUACAUGUUGAUAACGAGUCCGGCCAUCAUGGUGAAAAUAACAACAUAACGCCCGGUGAGGAAGUACCAACCGUUGAUCCCAUAUGAAUUCCGUUCGCAGACCCAAUUGACGCUAAUUCACAUGUGGCUAUCAACACAAUCUUUCCUACCGACCCCGAGAAUAUUGUACGUGGUAGAGCCCGAUCGGCAACUCAAAACACACAAAAUAUUGGAGGAGACGAGAUCAGUUUAUGGGUGAUCUUCGAAAUGAUGCAGGCCCAAUAGGCGGCGAUAGCUCAGUUACAGAACCAAAAUCGUGCACCAAUCAGGGUUGAACCCGAUCCACCCCGGGAAGUCACUCGCAGGGAUGAACCGGUCACAGAAAGGUCAAAUGAACAUUAAUCAUGGGCUAACCCCGAGAUCACAAAGAUGCUUGAAGAGCUGACAAAACAAAUAGAAUCAGAGGAGAAGAAAAUCGAAGCUAAUGACAAAAAGGUGGAAACCUACAAUUCCAGGGUAGACCAAAUCCCAGGAGCACUGCCAAUAUUGAAAGGCCUGGAUUCCAAAAAGUUCGUGCCAAAAUCUUUUCCUUCGAGCGCGUCUUCGAAGCCGAUCCCUAAGAAAUUCCGUAUGCCCGAGAUUACUAAGUAUAACAGUACAACCGAACCAAAUGGGCAUGUAACCUCUUACACAUGCGCCAUCAAAGGGAACGACUUGGAGGAUGAUGAGAUUGAGUCUUCCCUGUUGAAGAAGUUCGGAGAGAUCCUGUCAAAAUGGGCUAUGUUAUGGUAUCACAAUUUACCUCCUAAUUCUAUUGAUUCAUUCGCAGUUCUUGCGGAUUCUUUCGUGAAAGCACACGAUGGAGCCAUCAAGGUCGAGACCAAGGAAUCAGAUCUUUUCAAAGUAAAACAGAAGGAUAAUAAGAUGCUCAGAGAGUUCGUGUCCCGGUUUCAAAUUGAACGAAUGGACCUGCCACCGGUCUCUGAUGAUUGGGAUGUUCAGGCUUUCACCCAAGGGCUCAAUGUUCGAAUCUCGGUGGUUUCACAACAGUUGAGACAAAACCUAAUAGAAUAUCUGGCUGUUACUUAGGCCGAUGUGCAUAACCGGUAUCAAUCAAAGAUUAGAGUGGAAGAUGAUCAACUCGGGGCCCCUUCAGGGUCUGUUUAUCCCGUCAGAACCAUCAACAGAGUCAAGAGAGACAUCGAUCGUGAACCGAGACUAAACAGGGAUCGAUAUCAGCCGUAUAAUGGAGACCGAAGAAGCAGUGGGUCUGGGAGGAACUCCAUGAGAAAUGAAAGGAGAAGUGACCGAGGUUAGAGCAACCGAGACUAAUAAGAAAACACAGCUUCGACAGGCCCAUCAGGCCUAAAAAGCACCGAGGUUAUCGGAAUACAACUUUAAUGUCGAUGUUGCCGCCAUUAUGUCAGUUAUCGGACACAUCAAAGAUACUAAAUGGCCUCGACUUCUACAAUCCGAUCCAAGACAAAGGGAUCUUAACCAGAUAUGUAAAUAUUAUGACACUCACGACCACAAAACGGAGGAUUGCCGACAGUUUAGAGAGGAAAGUAUCGUGACUAUUCAACAUCGGGCAUCUUUGAGAAUUCCUAAGCGACCGAGCCAAGAAUCAUUUCAGGAAUAGGGAUUCUAACAAACAGAACAAACAAGAAGAACCUCAACAUGUCAUUAACAUGAUCAUUGGUGUGGUCGAUAUCCUUCAGGGGACGGUGUUUAAGCGCACCAAAGUGUCUAUCACGAGAGAGAAAUGAACUCGAUAUUACAUGCCGGAAGGAACCCUGUCUUUCAACGACGAGGACGCGGAAGGGAUCAUGCAACCCCAAAUGUGUGUUAAUUGAUCCAUGUAGCUCGGCCAAUAUCAUCCGAUCAAGGGUCGUGGAGCAGCUCGAUCUACAAGAUCAAAUAGUGCCCACAGUCCGAGUUCUAAACGGAUUCAACAUGGUAUGUGAAACCACUAAGGGUGAGAUAACAUUACCGGUGAACACCGCCGGGACCAUCCAGGAAGCUAAGUUUUAUGUAAUCGAAUAAGACAUGAGGUACAACGCUUUGUUCGGAAGGCCAUGGAUCCAUAACAUGAGGGCAGUACCCUCAACUCUGCACCAAGUGUUAAAAUUCCCAACACCAUGCGAAAUUAAAAUAAUCUAUGGAGAACAACCAGCCGCAAAGGAGAUGCUUGCGGUCGAAGGGGCGAUACCGAUAUCCGCACUUGCAAUGACAAAAGGGGCCGAGUUCGGUCAUAAAACCAGAAACUAAUCAGCAGUUACCAACACCAGCUACGACCCAACCAGAGAAACAGGGGACUGAUGAAGAAGAUGACUAUGGGGUACCCAGGUCUUUCAUAGCCCCCGAUGAUUCCGACGCCACUAAAUCGACGACCGAGGAGCUGGAACAGGUCAUAUUGGUCGAGCAUCUACCCGAUCAAAAGGUAUACCUGGGCACGGGGUUAAAUUCCGAGCUCAGGAAAAAACUCCUUCAUUUUCUUAUCGCUAACAUAGAUUAUUUCGUUUGGUCCCACCUUGACACGACAGGGAUCCCGCCGGAAAUAACCACUCAUAAGCUAAGCCUGGACCCGAAGUCCCAUCCAGUGAAAUAGAAGAGGAGACCCCAGUCCGAGAUCAAACAUGCUUUCAUCAAGGAUGAGGUAUCUAAAAUCCUCAAAAUAGGUUAUAUUUGGGAGGUUAAAUACCCGGAUUGGUUAGCGAACGUAGUGGUAGUCCUUAAAAAAGGGAAUAAAUUAAAAAUGUGUAUAGACUAUAAGGAUAUGAAUAAGGCAUGUCCCAAGGACUCUUUCCCUUUGACUAACAUCGAUCUUAUGAUCGAUGCCACGGCCGACCACGAGAUCCUCAAUUUUCUCGAUGCCUACUCCUGGUACAACCAAAUACGAAUAGACGUGGGUGAUUAGGAAAAAACCUCCUUCAUCACUAAAUACAACACAUACUGCUAUAACGUGAUUCCAUUCGGAUUAAAAAAUGCCGGUGCCACUUACUAACGCCUAGUAAAUCGGAUGUUUGAGCAACAAAUAGGAAAAUCAAUGGAGGUUUACAUUGAGAUAUGUUGGUUAAGUCCUUGCGAGCAUAGGACCAUUUAAAAUAUUUAUAGGAAACCUUCAGCAUAUUGAAGAAAUACAAUAUGAAGUUGAACCCGGAGAAAUGUGCGUUUGGAGUCGGGUCAGUUAAAUUCCUCGGAUUCAUGGUAUCCAACCGAGGAAUCGAGAUCAACCCCGACAAAAUCAAAACCAUCAAAGAUAUCACAGUUGUGGACAAUGUGAAGGCUGAGCAAAGAUUAACCGGGCGCAUAGCCGCCCUAGGGCGAUUCAUCGCGAGGUCCUCCGACAAGAGCCACCGGUUUUUCACACUAUUGAAGAAGAAGAAUAACUUCUCAUGGAACCCGGAGUGCCAACGGGCCCCGGAGGAACUCAAGAGAUAUCUAUCGAUCCCGCCACUACUUCACACGUCAAAGACAGACGAACAACUAUAUGUACUUGGCAGUAUCAAAGAUAGCGGUAAGUGGAUUCCUGGUCCGAGAAGAGCAAGGUACGUAAUUUCCAAUUUACUAUGUUUGCAAGACCCUAGGUGAGGCCGAAACUAGGUACCCUCACCUAGAAAAGCUGGCGCUCGUUUUGCUUAGCACCUCUAGAAAGCUAAAACCAUACUUCCAGUGUCACCCCAUAUAUGUAGUGACUACUUACCCAUUGAGGAAUGUUAUGCAUAAGCCCGAGCUAUUGGGUCGGUUGGCCAAAUAGGUCGUGGAAAUCAGUGGGUACGAUAUUGAAUAUUGACCCCAGACCACCAUUAAGUCUCAAAUUUUGGCACACUUUGUGGCCAACUUUACGCCAGCCCCAAUACCCGAGGUAGAUUAAACCUCCUCUGGGAUCUGUACCCUCUUUACGGACGGUGCCUCGAACGCAAAAGGGUCCGGACUUGGCAUCGUAUUGAAGCCACCAACAGGCAAUGUAGUUAGACAAUCUAUUAGGGCUGUGAAAUUGACUAACAAUGAGGUCGAAUAUGAGGCCAUGAUUGCAGGUCUCGAACUAGCCAAAAGCUUNNNNNNNNNNNNNNNNNNNNNNNNNNNNNNNNNNNNNNNNNNNNNNNNNNNNNNNNNNNNNNNNNNNNNNNNNNNNNNNNNNNNNNNNNNNNNNNNNNNNNNNNNNNNNNNNNNNNNNNNNNNNNNNNNNNNNNNNNNNNNNNNNNNNNNNNNNNNNNNNNNNNNNNNNNNNNNNNNNNNNNNNNNNNNNNNNNNNNNNNNNNNNNNNNNNNNNNNNNNNNNNNNNNNNNNNNNNNNNNNNNNNNNNNNNNNNNNNNNNNNNNNNNNNNNNNNNNNNNNNNNNNNNNNNNNNNNNNNNNNNNNNNCAAAGGUAGUUGAGGCCAAGUGCGACUCUUUCCUUGUGGUAAACUAAGUUAAUGGGACGUUCGAGGUAACAUUAAUGGGACGUUCGAGGUAACAUUACAUAAGUUGCAGGUAACAUUACAUCAGUUCAAAGAAUGGACUUUGCAACACAUACCUCGGGAUCAAAACAGUGAGGCCGAUGCCCUAGCUAACUUAGGGUCAUCGAUCGAGGACGACUAGUUUAACUCAGGGGCGGUCAUACAACUUAUGAUAUCGGUAGUGGAAGAAGGCCAUGCCGAGAUUAACUCAACGAGCCUAACUUAGGACUGGAGAAAUAAAUAUAUGAAAUAUCUGAAGACCGGAAAACUGACCUCGGAUGCAAAAGAAUCGAGGGCCCUGCGUACAAAGGCAACCUAGUUUAGCAUGUCCGAAGAAGAAACCCUAUUCAAAAGAACAUUCGAUGGCCCACUCGCGAUAUUUCUAGGACCAGGAGAUACCGAGUACAUUUUCAGGGAAAUCCACGAAGGCACCUGCAUAAAUCAUUUAGUCACCGAAUCAUUGGUUCAAAAAGUGAUCAGAGUCGGCUACUACUGGAUCGAUAUGGAAAAGGACGCGACGAAGUUCGUACGAAAAUAUGAUGAAUGUCAAAGACACGCUCUAUUGAUUCAUCGGCCCAUGGAGCUGCUGGAUUCGGUUUUGUCACCAUGGGUGUUCAUGAAGUGGGAAAUGGAUAUCGUUGGCCACCUUCCAUGGGCACCCGGUAAGGCUCAAUUUAUAUUGUUUAUGACUGACUAUUUUUCUAAGUAGGUGGAAGCCCAGGCAUAUGAAAAGAUCAGGGAGAAAGAAGUCAUCGAUUUCAUUUGGGACCACAUCAUAUGCCGGUUCGGAAUACCGGCCGAGAUCAUAUGCGAUAAUGGGAAAUAAUUCAUCUGCAGCAAGGUGAGCAAAUUUCUCGAAGAUCAUAAGAUCAAAAGAAUCAUAUCAACACCCUACCACCCUAUUGGGAACAGGCAAGUAGAAUCGACCAACAAAACCAUACUCCAAAACCUCAAAAAGAGGUUGACCGACGCCAAAGGAAAAUUGAAGGAAAUUCUACCUGAAGUCCUAUGGGCAUACCGUACGACCUCGAAGUCCAGUACUGGGACCACCCCGUUCUCACUGGUUUACGGCGCCGAAGCUCUAUACCAGUCAAAGUCGGUGAACCAAGUCUUGGGUUCCGAUAUGCAACCAAGGAAUCGAACGACAAGGCUAUGAACACGAACCUAGAUAUAUUAGAUGAAAGGCGCGAAGCAGCCCUUGUCCGGUUGGCCGCCCAAAAAUAGCAGAUUGAGAGAUAUUACAAUUGAAGGGCCAACCUUUGACACUUCAAUGUCGGGGACUUAGUGUUAAAGAAGGUCACACUAAACACUCGAAACCCAAAAGAAGGGAAGUUGGGGAUGAACUGGGAAGGACCUUAUCAAAUUAUCGAGAUCACCGGUAAAGGAUCAUACAAGCUCGUAACAAUGAACGAUGAGCAACUACCGAACAACUGGAACGUAACUCACAUGAAGUGAUACUACUGUUAAGGUAAGACCCCAUUAUUUUCCUUUUAUUUAUUUACAUUACGAACUAAAACUUGUAGGCAAUCAUCAAAGAACGAUACAAUAUUUAGGCCCGAAUGCAUGCGUUGCACUCUUUUUCCCUUGAACUAGUUUUGUCCCAAAUGGGUUUUCCGGUAAGAUUUUUAACGAGGCAACAAUAAAUCGUGCUAACUUAUAAUUGAAGGGCGGUUACGAACCGGUAUCGAAGAUCACGACAAUAGUAUCCGAGGUCUCUCUACGCUCGUCCCCGAACACUGGGGACAUCAACUCGGUUAACGACUUUAGCAAGGAAGCAAACCUUAUGAUUGAAUGGUCUCGGCUCGAUCGAUAGGAUUUACUGUAAGGGCCAGACGGUUACAUGAAUUGUGCCCACAUAGACUACUUGGGCCCUGGCACAAAACUUGUAUACAUGUGUAACUAUUAUGCACAAGAAUAAAAAGAAGCUUUUACCUUACGGAUAAACAUCUUGUCCUGUAAGAAUUUAUUUUUUUUCUUUUAAGGAAUUACUUACAUUCGAUCCCCUAAAGGUAUCGAGCCCAAGGGGCGGCUUUAUUGGGGUUCAAACGAUCACUCCCAAUCGGGGGCUGCCGUCAAAAAUCAAAAUCAGAUAGCUCGGGCUAUCGGAGCCCGGGGGCACAAGACCUAUUAGGCCACGCUCGAACCUUAAAGGCUAUGGCCACCCCCAUUCAGGGACUGUUAUCUUAGGCAAGCCCAAAUAACUUGGGGUAACAAGCCCACUGGGCAAUACCCGAACUAAAGGCUACGGUCAUAUUAAAACGACUCAGAGAUGUCCGAGACCUGUAGCAAAAAACAAGGCCUUCAAAAUUUCAUAACCGUUUCUAAAGGCUACGUUCAGCAAACUAUAAUCUAAAAAAUCAUAAGUACUUUGGGGAAAAUGUUUCUGGUCAUACCAAACCCCCAUGAUGCUUUAAACAAAAUAAUGUCAAAGGCAAGGUCCAAACAUGACCUAACUAUUUUAUGCUUAGGCAUUUUGAUGUUUGAAAACAUAAAGAAUAAAGCAAAGGAAACUAUUUUAUGCUAAGGCAUUUUGAUCUUUGUAAACAUAAAGAAUAAAGCAAAGGGCAAAAUUCUUAAACUGUCGAAGGGAAAAAUAAGCCUUGUAUAUUAUAUACAGUCUUUACAAAGGCCAAACGACCUUAACAAAAAUACGAAAGUACACAAGAAAAACAAAAAACCGAAAAAUUUCUACAAAAAGCGUCUAAACAUCCUGAUCUUCUCCACUCUCGGGUCCAUUGGAAUCCUUAGAGUCUUCUUCUUCUUCUUCUUCUUCUUCUUCUUCUUCUUCUUUAGGGUAGGCCAAUUUCUUGGCCUCGAGCCCCUUAGCGAUUUUGAUCUCGGCUGAUAGAUCAAAACCCUGAGCAUGAAUCUUCUCGAGGACCUCUCUUCGCGACUGUCGCUUCUCAUAAUCAACAAUAUCCUUCAAGCGGUCCUGGGACGCCUCGGCCUUAUAUUGAGCUACCAUCUCGUCGGCGUCGGCUUUAACAAUCACGACCACUGACUUGGUCGUUUCAAGUUCCUUGGCCAUAAUUUCUUGAUCAGAGGCAGCCGAACUUAGCCGAGACUGCAGCUCUUCGACCUUUUUGGCCUGCACCUCAGCUCUUUCCUUUACUGCUCAAAGCUGGACCUCAGCUGAAGUGAGUUGCGCUUGAGCAGCCUCUUUUUUUGAGGCCAGACGAUCCAUCCUGCCCCUCCAUUCGUCGGUCUCGGCCUUGACAACGUCCAUCUCAACUCGAAUUUGGGCUACUUGGUCGAUUUUCAAUUGGACCUGCGGAUUCCGAUCAUUAGUCACUGAGCCUAGCUCGUCGUCACUAACCUCAAAUAUGUUUACCUGCUCGACCAGAUCAGCCUUCCGAGCCACCUCGAGCUCAUCUCGGAGGCUCUUAGCCUCCCUUCACGCUGCUCACUAAGAAGUUUGUAGGAAUCUCAUUUCUCAGUGAGCCCUCGGACCUCGGCCUCAAGCUGUUUCAGCUCAUCCCGGUAUCGGAAAAAAGUCUCGUGGUGAAGUACCGAGGCCUACAAGCACAAAGAGAAAAUGUUAGAAUUAUUUACAAAAUAGCCUAAGUACAAAUUGAAAACCAUUGAGGAAUAUCUAAAGUUACCCGAUUUAACGCCUAUUGCGCUUCGUUGAACAGAUAAGGUGCAUCCACCUCAUUCAUCUUGGCAUGAUCAUCCUCGGUCACCAGAUAUCAAAGAUAACUAUCCAUCCCUAUGGGGGCGGAGAGGACCCGGGAGUCCUCCGAAAGGGAGAAAGUGAUGAAUCGUUUCCGGCGGGAAUCCACACUCGGGGCAGGGAAUCGAUUGAAUAGUUUGGGGCUCAAGGAAGGUCCGCUUUCUCCCGAAUAUGGGCUCUUCCUCGGUAUCUCUAAAUCACCCAACCCGGUGACGCCCUCCGUGGACGUAGAGUCCACUCCAUCAAAGAAGCCGCAAAAGGGAUUGUCCGCUCCGAGGACUCCCUUAUUGGGAAAUUCUUUCACCGUUUGAGCCUCAUUGUACAUGGACUCAGUGAACGAAGAUUACUCGGUGAUCUCUAUCACACUGAGUGCUUCCUUUGGUGCACUGCCUACGUCCCGGGAAACUUCGGUCUCAGCCUCCUCCUGUCCCUAGCUUGAUGAAGAUCGGCAUCGUCUCCCUCUGGUUUGGAGGCCCCUUUCCCUUCGAGCCGUGUCAACAUUCGGGCCACCAGAUUGAAGGUUUCUUCCUCUUGUUCUUCUUCGGAUUCAUCCCUCAUCUGAUAGAGAGAACCCAGAGGUGGUGCUCGAGCGCUGGUGCUCUCUUUGGACUUAUACACCAGCCUUCUUUUCGGCUUUUUCUUCUCCGAGCUUGGAGAACUCGGGGCCCUUUUUAUUUUCUUCUCUUCACCAUGUCUCAGAGCAGGGGACUCGGUAGGGACAUCAUCGCUACCAGAUGGGGGCCUCAUUUGGACAUCCUUGGAUAAACCUGCAAAAAGGGAAUAAAGCAAGUGAGAAUUUUGCAUAAGGAAAACCAAAUAUUACCCAUAAAAGAGAUCUCACCAUGCGAACGGACCUCUCAUAGACCCUUUGAAAGCUCGCGCCACGAGCGCUUGGAAUAGGGCCUUCGCUAUACGAUGCCCUCGACCCACUAUUUGAGUCGAGGAACUGCAUUCGGGACCCGAGCAACAACUACACCACCACAGAACACCGGUAAGUAGGAAGGAAAAAGGCGAUAAAUUAAAAUUUUGGAACCUAAAUUAUACUUACAUGACAUGUUCCACUUCUCAGGGAAUGACAUGUGCUGGCCGGGAUCAAGUCCGAGGUCUUCACUCGAACGAAACGACCUAACCAACCUCAAUCCCUAUCCUCGUCGAUACUGGAGAACGGGGCGUUACUGGUCCGACGGGUGAGCUUGAUCAAUCCCCCCGGUAGAGUCGGGGACUGUACAAACGCAUGAGGUGGUCGAUAGUAAAAGGAAACCCUUCGAUCGUUCUUACAAAGAAACGGAUGAGGAUUACGAUCCUUAGAAAGAAGGUUAGAUUUGACCGAAGGUUAUCUCAUAUCUUUUGCAAAAGUCGAUAAUAACCGGGUCUAAGGGGCCCAAUGUGAAGGGAUAAGUAUAAGCACUUGAAAAUACCUCGACGUGGGUGGUGAUGGCUUCGUCAGGUUCGGGAACCACCAUAUAUUUGUCAACCCAGUUACAAUCUUUCUUGACUUUGGAGAGAAUAUCCUCGGUGAUCGAGUAGAUGUACCUCGAGACCCCCUCACACCGGCCUGGUAUGGAGGAGGGCUUUUUGACUUUAAAAUUAGCAUUGACCGGGCAUCCCCCUGGGAUGUACAUUUUUAGAGGAGGUUCCGGUGCUGGUUCCUCAGUAGCAGUAUGUGAAGCGGUCUCUUCGGUAGCCGGCUACGAGGUAGAAGGAGUUUCUUUUUGGGAAACGGUUUUGGAAGUUUUCGCCAUUUCUUUAUAGAGAGGAAAUAAGGAAAAAGAGGAAGUUAUAAGAGUACACUCGGUGGUUUGAGAAAAAUACGAAUGAGAGUUCUUAUCAAAUAUCUCAAAGUAACUAGAAUAUAAGUGCUUGGAAGUAUUAAAAUUUCUUAGGAACAAGGUCAGAAGGUUUGAAUUUAAAGUUUGAAUGAACAAAUGAGGGGGUAUUUAUAGUUUUUCAUUGACGGUUCACAUCUAGGAGUGGCUGACCAGCAACUGACGAGCAUUUAAUGCCAUUAAGACUUGACUGGCGAUACGUUUCGACUGCUUUGUCGUUUCUGUCAUGUGGUGCCUAAAAAAGAAUCGAAAGGUCAUUUCAUUUCUCGUCUCUACUCUUCGAAAAAUGAGGAAACUAUUUGUAUACGGUCGGAAUCGAGCUCGCCUAUGACAUGACAGAUUAGGCUCGGAUUAUGACAACCAAAGAUUGAAGAUCGACCUCCGAGUCCCACCGAGCUAGAACCCGGGGUCAGAACGCCUGUCUUCGAGAAUAUUAAGUCCGUAAUCUCGGAGUCAACCUUAGCCCCGAUCGAACUCGAAAAAAUAUUAUUAGCAUAACCAACAGAAGACCGAAAUAUCCGUGACCGGUCGGAUAUUAUGGCGGGAAUCUCGGCACGAAUUAAUAAGGAACCGGCAAUCAGUGAAUCAAGAGAUCUUUUACAUUUUAUAGAAUUGUACCUAAAGUAGGAAUCCUCUACUAUAUAAAUAGGGGUAUGAUUAUUCAUUGGAACACAUUGUAAUACGCAUCUCAAAACAAUACAUUGUUAUUCUCUUUAAAUUCUUAUUCUUCUGUCUUGAUAUCGUUCGAAAUACGUUUGUCUCGAGGUGACUAACCUUCCAAAGCUGAAACUGUUCAAUUCGUGCGGUUUGCAUUUACUUUAUCGUUAUUUGCUUCAAUUGCAAUAUGAUUUAUCAUUUUGUGUCAGUUUAAUCCACGUUUCUUUAAAAUCACUUACAAAUUCAAUUGUUAUUCGAUUUUGAGGCUAAACAAACUUAAGCCGAUCUUGAUCUAUACAAAUACCGAUCGAGCUAAUUUAAUUCACGAAUCUUGCUGGUAAUGUGUGCCUCUAUACGUAAUCUAGCUAUUCUUUUUUCUUUGAUUUUCUUCCUUGUUUUUAGACAUCCGUUAUAUGAAACUCACUAGCCCACUAAUUCGGACUCCUCCCGGAUAAGCUUUAUUACUAUAGGAUAAAAUGCUCCUAACCAAGAAGUUCUUUCUUUCCAGAGCUCGAGUUUGAUUAAGGGUGAAAAAUCUCAACCAACCCACCGUACUCCUUUGUGUUUAUAUGUAAUCUAGUUCAGAUGAUUCAGGGAAAUAUUAACUCCCCCUGGAAUCUUUACAAUGAUGUUGAAAAGAUCAAGAAAAUGGUAAGAAGUCACAACAUACAAAUCUCUUACUGUUUUAGAGAAGGGAAUAUGGUGGCGGAUGCCUUAACCAAGCAUGCUAUUAACCUCAGCCAACAUGUCCUAUAUGUUCAGGAAAGUCAAUUGCCUAAUGAUGCCAGAGGCACUCUGAGAAUGGAUAAGCUUAACCUCCCUUCUUUUAGAAUAAGAGUAGCCAAGCACAUAGGUUGGUUUUAUGAACCACCAUGAUGUUAGCUCCAUACUUCUAUCCAGGACUCAACAAGCUGAUCCUGGUACACUCAGCUCCCUUAAUCCAAAUGAAGACUUCAUUGACCAGUCGCAAUCUCGAUGGCAGUUACUGUUAUAACGCUAUAGCUUCUUUAGCUAAUAGCAACUCUGUUACAAGGUUUAUUCUCUUGACUAUUGAUUGGUUGCGUCCAAUCCAAGCAUUUCACUUUUCUAGUUAGGCUAACUAGUAUUACCGGAGAUAAGGUAUUAUGUCCCCCUCUUGUUGUAUUAACUUUUGAGAUUUUAAUAUACAAGGCAGGGGCCAAUGCCAAACCCCCACCACGGGAGGUGAAAGCAUGGGUGCAUGGUUUUAAUAAAAAUAAAAAAAAAUCUCCUAUGACUCUUCCUAGAUCUCCUUUAGAAAUAAUACACUGAGAAAUUAAAAGAGGGAACGAACAUCCAUAGACGUUAAGCAUGCGCAUAUGGUGCUAUAUCAUUUACGUAUCGUAUCAGUAUAAAGGUAAACUUUUGAGUAAUUAAUAAGGAAACAGAGAGGUAUGCUUGGUCAAAGAAUAGUUAAAUAGCAUCUGCAGAAUGCUAGUGUGUAGUGGGGUCUGAGCUAUUGGGCGGGAGUGAAAUUAAGCAGAGGAGCACAUGAUGUUAUUUUUUAUCAGUCAUCUUUGCUGAUUCUAUAUGGUAUUCUUUGGCUUGAUUUUGUCUAAUGUGUAGUUUAAUUUGUAGGCAACAGCCAAGAUGAAGGAAGCUGGCAUUUCUGACAUAUUAACAGAAUUUGUACCCUUUGUUGAAUUUUUGCCGUUCCAGGAUUUUUCCGUGCUGAAACAAAGAUUCUGUAUAUUGAACAUAUAUGAAUAUGGUCCCUCCUACUAUUUAUUACUGAAAGGUAUCAGGAGUCCCCAGGGGCAUAUUUAGGACGUACGUGCUCCAUGGUCCAAGCUAAACCGGUGCUUGUGGCCCGAAUUAUGUAUGCAUCUGCAAAAAGAAUUUUGUAAUAUAUACAUAUAAUAAGAUCAUACUCGUAAUGAACAUACUAACUCUAAAUUUUGGAUUCACUUCUUGCUCUACCCGCGUCUUAUCCUAUGCCAAAUUGCCAACGCAUUGCCUUCCCAUCUCCGCAAGCAGCAGGGAAGAAAGAGCUUUUAGGGGACGACAGUUUUAAGGUAAUAAGACUUUGCUUACUAAUACAGAAAGAAGAUUUGACUACAUUCAUAGCAUGCUUUCCCUUUAAAAAAACAUGAAUGUCCAAAAAACAAAAAUCUUACCUUGAUAAAAAAUAAAAAAUAAAAAAAAUAAAACCAUGAAUGCCAAUCCACAUAAUUGAUCAAUUUUUCUGACCGAAGCAGUUUUAGAAGUUCCCAGAAUUCAAAAGUUACCUGGAACACCUUGAAAUCACCACCAAAAAAAAUAAAAAUGUUUUUGGUAUCGAAUAUCAUUGCUGAUUAACCAGACAUCAACACUAGGAACUUCUAAAAAAGACCCUAUAACUCCAAUGACUACCGAGCUUGAUGUAUCACUUUGCGAUGCAGUGUCAAAAAAGAACGCUACAAUCUUAGAUUCAUGAUCAAGAUACACCAAGAGAGUGACUCACUGCUGCACUUGAUCUGGAACAGAACGCCUCCAGAUACCAACCAAGGCACUGCCAAAUAUUGAGUGACAAACACUAGAAACUGCACAUGGUACUGCAGUAAGCGGGUUACCAAAGUGCUGAGUGGCUAGAACUACUCCAAGAACCGAGUUCUGCAACAAACAAAGUACAAUUUAAUGAGUAUACAGCACCUUACUAAAAGGCAUGGUUUAUAUCAAUGGCUUAUCCAAUUAUUUAAGUGUCAUCUUUCCCCUGAUUGUUUUUCAGGUGCCAUUUUGUAAUACGUUUACAAAUAUUUUCUUCAGUCAUAUACUGAGGGCUGGAAGUGGCAAUUCUUUUUCGAUAAAUGGGGGAGAGAGAGAGAGCGCUCUUCCCAGAGCCUAUUUCUGAAAUCAUCUGCUUACCUGCAUGCCGACUUCAAUAGAUAUUGUCCUUGAGGACGAUACAUCAACCCCGAGCAUCCUUGAGAGCACGUAGCCAAAGAAGAAGCCAGGUGCAUGAAGAAGAGCAGCAGCUAAGACAACCUGUUGACCUGACAUGAGGAUUGCAGAAGAACUCUGCGCAAUUGCAUUUCCACAAAGAACUGCAACAGUUGCUACAGCAAUAGGGGGCAUCAAUGGAAACACAAUUUUGACAAGGCUUUUGAAAUACUGAUUCAGAAAUGCACCAGCUAAGACAGGAAGAAGAACCACCUGCAUGUUGGCAGGGUUUAUAAUUUAUUCUGACGAAUUACAAUACUACGAUAAUGAUAAGCCAAUAACCAAAUUAGGAAACAGACCUGCAAAGUGGACAUGAAAAGUCCAGCUGCAUCUACUGCAACAAGUUGCCCUGCAAGUUUCUCUGUUAGGAAAGGGGUCAUCCACCUGCAUGUGUAACCAGAAAGGUCAAUUAACUUAAGGGAGCUCUCACACCAUCAGAUAGGAUUAGAGUAUCUUUCAUGAUAUUAAGAGAAGCGUGAGACACAUUCAACAAUAAGAGGAAGUGUGGGAGCUUUUUCCCACAUUGUUUAAGAAUAUGAGUGUACUAAUAAAGAACCGCCCACCAGUCUUAGACAAAAGUUCUCUGGUUGCUUACUAAUAAGUGAGAUGAUAAAGUGCUUUGUUUAUUACGUUUAGAUAUAAAGAUCACCGUUUGUGUCUUUUAGGCGCACUCGCAAACACGGAUUUGCUUACCAAUAAUUUUGCUGUUAAAGUUAAACACAGAUCAACAAUUUAAUAAAACUAUGUAUGAAGAAAACAAUCUAAGAACCUAAAUCUUUUCUUAUAUUCUUGACCAUCCAAACACACUUUCCUGUUCUGAACUUGACACUUCCAUAUGACCAUUGAAUACUCAAUGUUACGCUCUCUAAUUCUGCACCUUGAUUGUAGGCUAGAGGCAAAAUAUUUGGACCUGUUUGCACAACAACUCUGGUGGUAGGGAUUAAUUUAAUCAUUUCUUUUAGUGCUGAAGCCUUCACUUAAUCUGCAUAUUUUUCCCAUCUGAAUUUCAAAAACAUCCUGUCUACAUCUGAUGUCGAUCCUGACAGUUCAUCUUUGUCUUUGACGUUGGCAACAAUUGACUGCUCUGAUAAUCUUACUAAGCUUGUAUUGCUCUUAGGACAAAAUGGACCAACUCCUCCAAAUGCCUUUAUGCUUUUAGAAAUCAAGAGAAUUCAAAUUCAAAGUAAUUUGAAAAAGAAGCUCCCCAGGUUUGUUUUAGAUGCUUGUUGAUUAUUCUGUCAAUAAUGCAUUUCUUUGUCGGCCAAAAGGUUUCUUCACAAGACUUUGGAGUUACUUUAAGUUACACAUUUCAGAACUAUCUCAUGAAUUGUUUUAGGUCACUUAUCCUUGGGAUGCAUAAAACACACGACAUACGCAUAUGGACAGAUAUAAACGUCUUAUAUGCAUAUUAUAUUCAUCAACCAAACAAAACUACUAACCACAGCAGAUAGGGUACUUGCAGCAGUCAUCAAUACUGAAAGCGCCACAUUGCCACUGCAGUUGAAUGAAGUAUCAACACCUAGUAGGUAUUAUAAUGGAAACAACAGCAAACCAACAGUAAUAUGAAUAACAAUGAUACAAGAGAACUUUCCUCAAGUACCUACCGUGCAAUGUAAGUGACAAUAUUACUUGCCGUCCCUGCAGAAAAAUGCAUGAGAUGCUUAGUAAAUGUCUAUAAGUAGAAGGUUUUGAAAAGGAGUCUAACUAAGCAUACCUCCAGGACAGCAGCCAACCAAUAUCAAGCCUGCUGCAUAAUAGGAUGGCAAAUUUAACAGCUUGCUAAUAAAUACCCAAGGGUGUGGCCUAGUGGUCAAUGAAGUGAGUGAGAACCAUGAGGUCUCAGGUUCAAAUCCACGGAGCCAAAUACUAGGUGUUUUCUUCCCAUCUAUCCAAGCCUUGGUGGAUAGAGUUACCUGGUACAUGUUGCUGGUGGGAGGUGGCAGGUAUCCCGUGGAAUUAGUCGAGGUGUACGCAAGCUGGCCCGGACACCACGGUUAUAAAAAAAAAGAGGCAUCACCUACACCAGAAAACAGGCUGAUAAUAUGUCCACGCCAAGAAAAUUAAGCAGGAAAUAUAUUUUCUUAGUAGUGUGGGAUAAACUGCAAAUCUAACGCAGGUCGUCACAAGAAAUGGACAACGAAUGACUAAUGAAUGACAAGGUAAACAGAAAUGCGGAACAAGUUCACUUUAUAUAGAAAGCACUUUCCGAGAGACAUCACAGGAAGUGCAAUUUGUUGAACAAAAGAGAGGAUGGACAAAUAGAACAAACUAUUAGUUUAACAGGGAAAAACGAAGUCCAGGGAAGCAUAUAUUUGAGUUGCAAUCUAAGAGCUAACAUUCAAGAGGAACAACAACAACAACAAGAACCCGGUAUAAUGCCACUAGUGGGGUCUGGGGAAGGUAGUGUGUACGCAGACCUUAUCCCUACCCUGGGGUAGAGAUAGACCCUCGGCUUCCUCCCUUCAAGAACUUCCCACCUUGCUCUUGGGGUGAUUCGAACUCACAACCUCUUGGUUGGAAGUGGAGGGUGCUCACCACUAGAGCAACCCAAGAGCGACCCACUCUUGUAAAAAGUAAGAAAAUGCAUAAUCGGAAGCUGACAAAUCUGGAUAAAAUCAACAAUUGGCAGCUUAGGAACACAAAACCAAAACAAUAUCAGUUUUCACCCUAAGUCUUCUGUCUUUAUAUGGUGAAAUGCACUUGGUAGCAAAGUGCUACAAUUCAUUUUGAAUUUGCAUAUGGUUUUUGGAAAUGUACUUACAAGUUGUCAGCAUACUUCAUCCAUAUCAUUUUAUCAUCUUGCUCAUGGAGCAACAAGGAGUUGGAUGGUACCAAACUUAAGUACUAGUCAGAGAACAAACAAACGAUUAAUUUCUAAGUUAUAGAAAAAAAAGUUGCCCCUAGGGCUUUGGUUCGAUGCCAAAGGUAGUACAAAGAGAAAUGUGCGGUAGGCGCACGUCAUUGGACCAAAAGUAACCGUAGCAUGGGGGUCUAUGAGUUCAAAUCCACCGCGCAUCAAAGCUGAAAACAACGGAUUAAUUGGUUAUCAAUAAAAUUACAGAAUAAGUGUUGCUCCUUCUUCUGCCACAAAUGUAGACUAAAAUGGACAAAGCUUCAUACAUCAAAACAAUGCACUGGAAAUGAGUCAUCCACAUUCCACUGUUCAGUUUAAACAGUAUUCAUGAAAAGGAAAUUUUUCUGUGGGGUUACGUGAAUUCUACAUUUACUUUGGUAACCAAUUGCCAGUUCUUGGUCAUUAAAAUUGAGAUUCAUGUCAAUUCAGAUUAAUAUUUAGGUAUAAAUGUUACCUCUAUUACUUUGGAAGGAUUAUUUCUAGCUGCAUGCUUAUAACACCGGUCAGGGCGGAGGCACAAGCUGACCUAUGGGUUCGGCCUAAUCCAGUAACUUUUGCUUAAACGGUGUAUUUAGUGUUUUGAAUUCAUGAAAUAUGUAUGUAGACAAUAAAUUACGUUGAGAAAAUAAAAUCAAGACCGAAAAUAUUGCAACAAUCGUAGUAUUUUAUUUCAAAUAAUUUGAGUGUACAAUCUCUAUGAAUCCUCUGAUUCUUCUUUUCAAUAGUAAAUAAAGGAGCCUCCGAGCUUAAUCUUGAAUUUUAUUUUAUUUUAAUCCAAGUGCUUGAAGCUUGAUCUUAAUCUUGACGUAUUUUUAANCUAAGGGNNNNNNNNNNNNNNNNNNNNNNNNNNNNNNNNNNNNNNNNNNNNNNNNNNNNNNNNNNNNNNNNNNNNNNNNNNNNNNNNNNNNNNNNNNNNNNNNNNNNNNNNNNNNNNNNNNNNNNNNNNNNNNNNNNNNNNNNNNNNNNNNNNNNNNNNNNNNNNNNNNNNNNNNNNNNNNNNNNNNNNNNNNNNNNNNNNNNNNNNNNNNNNNNNNNNNNNNNNNNNNNNNNNNNNNNNNNNNNNNNNNNNNNNNNNNNNNNNNNNNNNNNNNNNNNNNNNNNNNNNNNNNNNNNNNNNNNNNNNNNNNNNNNNNNNNNNNNNNNNNNNNNNNNNNNNNNNNNNNNNNNNNNNNNNNNNNNNNNNNNNNNNNNNNNNNNNNNNNNNNNNNNNNNNNNNNNNNNNNNNNNNNNNNNNNNNNNNNNNNNNNNNNNNNNNNNNNNNNNNNNNNNNNNNNNNNNNNNNNNNNNNNNNNNNNNNNNNNNNNNNNNNNNNNNNNNNNNNNNNNNNNNNNNNNNNNNNNNNNNNNNNNNNNNNNNNNNNNNNNNNNNNNNNNNNNNNNNNNNNNNNNNNNNNNNNNNNNNNNNNNNNNNNNNNNNNNNNNNNNNNNNNNNNNNNNNNNNNNNNNNNNNNNNNNNNNNNNNNNNNNNNNNNNNNNNNNNNNNNNNNNNNNNNNNNNNNNNNNNNNNNNNNNNNNNNNNNNNNNNNNNNNNNNNNNNNNNNNNNNNNNNNNNNNNNNNNNNNNNNNNNNNNNNNNNNNNNNNNNNNNNNNNNNNNNNNNNNNNNNNNNNNNNNNNNNNNNNNNNNNNNNNNNNNNNNNNNNNNNNNNNNNNNNNNNNNNNNNNNNNNNNNNNNNNNNNNNNNNNNNNNNNNNNNNNNNNNNNNNNNNNNNNNNNNNNNNNNNNNNNNNNNNNNNNNNNNNNNNNNNNNNNNNNNNNNNNNNNNNNNNNNNNNNNNNNNNNNNNNNNNNNNNNNNNNNNNNNNNNNNNNNNNNNNNNNNNNNNNNNNNNNNNNNNNNNNNNNNNNNNNNNNNNNNNNNNNNNNNNNNNNNNNNNNNNNNNNNNNNNNNNNNNNNNNNNNNNNNNNNNNNNNNNNNNNNNNNNNNNNNNNNNNNNNNNNNNNNNNNNNNNNNNNNNNNNNNNNNNNNNNNNNNNNNNNNNNNNNNNNNNNNNNNNNNNNNNNNNNNNNNNNNNNNNNNNNNNNNNNNNNNNNNNNNNNNNNNNNNNNNNNNNNNNNNNNNNNNNNNNNNNNNNNNNNNNNNNNNNNNNNNNNNNNNNNNNNNNNNNNNNNNNNNNNNNNNNNNNNNNNNNNNNNNNNNNNNNNNNNNNNNNNNNNNNNNNNNNNNNNNNNNNNNNNNNNNNNNNNNNNNNNNNNNNNNNNNNNNNNNNNNNNNNNNNNNNNNNNNNNNNNNNNNNNNNNNNNNNNNNNNNNNNNNNNNNNNNNNNNNNNNNNNNNNNNNNNNNNNNNNNNNNNNNNNNNNNNNNNNNNNNNNNNNNNNNNNNNNNNNNNNNNNNNNNNNNNNNNNNNNNNNNNNNNNNNNNNNNNNNNNNNNNNNNNNNUUUUAAAUGCUAUGAAGAGGACGUCUCCUUUUCACUUAGGCAUAAAAUUGGAUCGAUUGAUCUGAGUAGACUUUUAGUUUGAGGGAGUAUUAAUCCCGAAAAAAUUUAUGGGAGUAUUAAUCUCAUUAAGAUUUACAGGAGUAUUGAUCCCGGUAAGACAUUGAGUCUGAGAAAAUAUUGAUUCCGAAUAAAUGUAUAUCUUAGUAGAUUUGUCCCGAAGAGACAUUUAAUCUGAUUGGAUAUUGAAUCCAAAUUGGAGUAUAUGAACAUUGACGAUCGCAAAACACACACUUAAAUAUGCUUGCUAGUCGAAUAUAGUAUAAUAUAAUAUCGUAUCCACAAGGAUUGGAGUUAAACAAUAUUUUUAUAGUUUGUAGCUUGAUUACUAUCCAAGAUAAUCAAAAAUUGAGAAUUAUGUGAUUAAAAACUAAAAUUAACUAAGAAUCUAAAUCUAAUUGACUAAUGACAAUUACACAAAAGUAAGCAAGAAAAAUAUCAAUGGGAGAAAAAUAGGGGUUGAUUGGAUAGGUGCAAAAUAGUUGUCUGGGAUUUAACUCAAGUUAAUUCACUUCUAAUGUUGAAGUUAGUCUCUCGAAUUCACUCAAUUGUUAGUUCAAACGUUAGUAGAAACUCCUCUCUCGAUUAAGUCGCAACCUCACAAUAUGAACUAAGUUAAGCUCGGUGAAGAUAUGCACGAAUUCGUAUUAGAUUGGUAUUUUAGAAGAACCUCUUUUGAUUAUCCUCGUAACUAGGUUUAAUCAACAAUUCAACUAGCCUCUUUCGAUUACUAAGAAAAAUUAAUGAAUUCAACCAACAAGAUAAUGCAAAAAUAUCACAAAUUAUGCCUCUCUCGAUUACACAAACAUGUGAAUAUAGAUGCAACGAUUAAAACACCCAAAACGAUUCAAUACAUAAAAAUAAGAGUUAAUAUCCACAACCAAAUAUCAAUACACUAAAUCCAUCAAUUACUAAAGAGAACUACUCCAUAGAUAUGGAGUAAUUCAUCACAAAUAUGUUUAAGAUAACGGAAAACAUAAAACGAUCCAAACUCGUGUCUUGAGUGAGGAUUGAAUGAUGAAAUCCUUGUGCUUCUUCUUCUCCAACUCCUCCUUAGCCUCCUUAGGUCUUAGAUGUUUCAAAAGUCUAGAAAAUACUAUUUUUCCAUGUAUAUGCACCAAUAGGGCCGGGCCCAAAUGAAAACACCUUCUCUGAUGCGAAAUAAGAUUCUUUCCGGAAUAGGACGUGUGCGGCCACGCACCUGGGAGUGUGCUCGCGCAUAUGGCCGCGCACUUUGGACAGUGUCUAGCCUCACUUGCGCGCCCAGUGCACGCUCACGCACUUGGGUGGCGUCUUGCUUGAUUCUUCGUCUCUCUCGUUGAGUGCACUAUUGUACGUUGAUCCCCGAACACGAUCCCAAUUUAAUCCUCGGGCUAUUACUCAGACUUCAAAACACUAGAAUAGUUUGAAUUCAUUCCAUAACAUCUACAUAGCUCAGAAUCACUUCUCCAAGGCAUAAAACAUAUAAUUAGUGCAAAAUACUAGUGAUUAAAGCUCAAAUUCAAUUAAAGUGCAGUAAAUUAGAGUGCGAUAAGCAACGAAAAUACGUAAUUAUAGCCUACCAUCAACACCCCACACUUAAAUCAUUGCUCGCCCUGGAGCAAUCAAACUACACUUUAUAAAAACACAGCCUUUUUAAACAACUCUCAUAACUUAUCAUACGAAGAAUAUUUAAAAUCGAUUAAGCACAAUAGUGUAAUAUCCUAACCUCAACAUUUGACUCAAAAGUACCACACAUUAUUCACAACUUGCUCACUUACUCCAACAUAGAGGUCAACGAUAUCACAUUUCCUUCAUGAAUCAAGUGCCCUCACACAACAAUCGAGAGUAGUUCCAAACACUAUAAAAUUUAAGAAUAACUAGGAACUCAAGAUAGAAAUAAUUCACUCACUCUCAAAAAUAAUAUUCAUAUGCCACAAAAGAUGAACCAUAGGCUUGCCCGUAGUGUACUACUCUACUAAUUGAGCUCAUUCAGUCGAGGAUCAAGUAGGACUUUAAUUGUUUGUAAUGUAAGCUGCAGGACGAGUAGAAUACAUUUAGAUAUAAGAGUGACUACACCUCCCUAAGCACUUUAAUACAUACAUUUCAUUGUUCAAAACCCUACACUUAUGUCAAACCAUAACUCCACCUUCACAUCAAUAUAUAUUAACUCCCGCUUCUUUAAGCACAAUUACAUCAAAUUGCCACUAUCAUGGAAUAUUUUUCACAAUCAUACAACUAUUUAUUUUAUUUUUCUUUUUCAAUUCAAGUGGCUCUUAUUUUUUUAACACAUUGCACCUUUCUCCUUAUUUCAAUAGUUCCACUCAAAAGCCAAACCAACCACCCGACACUUCAACUUUUACAAAGUUUAUAACAAAUUUAAGUGCUCACGAGUGGUAAACGGUUCAAAUAGAUUGUCAAUUCAAACAAAUGGGGAAGGCUUGUAAUGUGGUAGCCAAAGAAAGAUGAUUACAUGCUCAAAAGGGGUUAACUAAGAUACAUAACAAUUUGGUGGGUAAAAUAUAUAGUUAGCGCAACAAAGAAAUGCAUAUAUCACUUCCAAGACUGAAUAAAACUAAUAUUUCACUUUGCAAACACACGGAGCAAGUUCUAGACAUCAAAUGCAAUACACAGAAUACACAAAAACCUCUCACACACACGGCACAUAACUCACUCAAGAUUGAAUUAUCAAGACACUCUAGUCAAAGCAUUUAAGUAAAGUUGAUAUGAUAUAAUUUAAGGUCCUCAUACAAGAGUAAAAAACUGAGCCUAAGUGUCCAAACUAAAGCACUCACUAUUCUCAAGGCAUGAUAGAGUCAAGAGAUAUUGCUUCCAAUUCCAAUCAUAGCAUAAGGUCUCCUAUUUCUAACAAAAAUAAAAACUAACUACACCCGGUUCAAACAAAACCCUUGGAAAAGAACCUCGGUACAAAGAAAAACCAAGGGAGAAUUAUUACAUUAACUACAAAAGAAAAUUAUUUUGUCUUUUUAUUUCGACUUUAAUCCCUAAAGAAACCCGUCUAAUGAUAUCCACCGUCGGAAAAAAUCAAAUAUUUUUCAAAAUUUUAUGGUUUUCCAAUUUUUUUCUAUCAAACUACUACAACUAACCAAAAGAAACUAGAAUUAAUAUACACACAACAUAUCAAACUACUACAACUAACCAAAAGAAACUAGAAUUAAUAUACAUACAACACACAUAUCCCCCACCCCAUACUUUAAGUGAUGGCAUGUCCACAUGACACACAAUUAAAAAGCAUAAGGUAGAGAAAACUUUCCUGAAUCUCUAGACGGGGUCUGAGUCGAAGUCGGGCUCCAUUCUUCUCGCCCGAACUAGUGCACACAUCCACGUAGACAACUUCUUCUCAACCUUCUUGGGGUACACCCCACACUUGUCUUUUUCUAUCACUAGAGCCUUAUCCCUUGAACUCUUCACCUUCCAUUCAACACUUGCAACUGACUUCUUCUUUUUCACCCCCGUAUCUACAAUCAUCUCGAACGUUACAGUUUCUGCACUUACUCUAAGCAUGGGUUUUCUAUCAUGUAUGUCUAAUAUUGCUCUGCCUGUUGCUAAGAAUGGUCUUCCUUGGAUAAGGGGGACCUCCUUGUUCUCCUACAUCUUCACCACUAUAAAGUCUACAAGAAAUACAAACUUAUCUACCCGAACUAAAACAUCUUCCACUAUCCCCUCGGGUAUCAAAGUUGUUUAGUUUGCCAGCUGCAAAGAUAUUGUGCAGACCUUAUCUCUCCAGUCUCAUUCUCCAGAUUGUUGUAAAUAGAAAAGGCAUUAAAUUAAUUGAGGCACCUGAAUCACACAAAGACUUAUCAAAAUUAAGAGUGCCUAACGAGCAAGGUAUAACAAGGAUCUCCACACUUUUGUGGGAGUUUGUUUUGCAAGAUUGCACUACAAUGCUCUGUGAGCUUGACCACUAAGGUCUCUUAUAUCUUCAUCUUCUUUGUGAGGAUCUCCUUUAAUACUUUGGUAUAAACUAGCAUUUGUGAGAGAACUUCUGUGAAUGGCAAGUUUAAAUUAACUUGUCUCAACAUCUCUAGAGAUUUCUCAAACUGCUUGUCUAGCUUUUCUCUAUAUAGCUUCUAGGGAAAGGGUAGAGUAGGCAUAUGCUCGCUCUCAUUAAAUUUCUCCCUUGUUGAAGUUUCCUCCUUCUUCUUUUUCUCGGCUCCCUUCUUGCCUUUCUUCUUCUUAUCAACUUUAUUUUUCAGCUGCUCCCCAACUUCUUUUUUAGGUACACUCUCUUUUUGGACCGGAGUGGGAUCUUUCACCACUUGCCUGCUUCUCAAUGUCAUAACAUUCACCAUUUCUUUGGGGUUUCUCUCAGUGUCAGCUGGCAGAGUACCUGGGAUUCUUUCAGACAAUACAAUGGCAAAUUGUCCUACUUACUUCUCCAAGUUUUGUAAACCUGUACCAAGUUCUUUGAUAGCUGAACCAUGAGCAUCUAAUCUCACAUCUAUAUUGAUAAUGAAGGACUUCAUUAGAUCUUCUAACCCAGGCUGAUUGGAUUGUUGAGGUUGAAACUGCUGCCUUUGCUGAUUUUGGAAGCCUGGAUCUCCUUGUCCCUAAAAUCGGGAGUUGUGUCAUUGCCAUGAAUUUGCAUUACCCCCAGGUGAACUCCAUGAAAAACCGAGGUGCUUAUGACCCAUUGCAUUGAAGUUAUAACUCCCAACAACAUUAACUUCCUCAGUUGAGGCUUGACACUCAUGAGUAGGGUACCCUCUUCCACAUAUGUCACAUGCUGUAUGAGGCUCAUUAUGUAUCGAGGCUAAGGUCAGCUUCCUUAUUUAUUUAGCCAUGGCAUCAAGUUGUACUUGCACAGAUGUGUUAGCAUCAACUUGGUGAACACUAGUUGAUCUUCUUCUUUGAGCUACCUCAGAGCGCCACUGAUUUGCAUCCUCAGAUAACUCAUCGAGAAUUGUGACUAUCUUCUCUGGGGUCUUCUUCAUCAACGGACCUCCAGCUGCAUUGCUCAAUGUUCUGCAUGAGGCCUAUGUCAAUCCAUCCCAAAAGUCCUAGAGUUGCAUCAAGAGUUCAGUUCUACUAUGUUGACACUUUCGCACUAUCUCCUUAAACCUCUCCCAAGCUUCAAACACAGUUUCAGUCUCGUUCUGGCAGAAGUUAUGGAUUUCUCUUCUAAACUUGCAUGUCUUAGCUGAUGAGAAAUAUUUGUCAAGAAAUUAUCUGGUCAUCUCAUCCCAUGUUCUAAUCGAUCCAUUAGGCAAGCUUCGAAGCCAGUGCUUUGCAUCGUCUUUGAGAGUGAAGGGGAAUGCCCUUAAGUAAAUUGCAUCUUGUGAAAUACCAUUGUAUUGAAAGGUGUUCAUAAUCUCCUCGAAGUCCAUCAGAUGAUUGUUUGGAUCUUCGUUCAUCUUUCCUAUGAAGACAUAACUGUUUUAAAGAGUUUGAAGCAACCCAUUCUUCAA